CAAUGAUAGGUCAUUUGUAAACAUGCAUGAUUGUAAGAGAUAUGUAUAAGUUAGAGGAUAGUGACCGCCUAUGUACUGUGUAUUAUGUGUACGUUCAUGAGAUGUGUCCACAUGGGUAUUGUAAGUGUUCUAUCUAAGUUGGCAACAUGUUUUAGCCAGAGAACCGUGGAAGACAUUUUGGGGUAUUGUGUCUAUACGACAGAGUCUCACAAAAAAGUUUGUUUUUCUUGCAGGUAUUGAUGCUUGUUGAAUAACGAUAUUCCUGUAAAUUAUUUGUGUCUACUCUGGAACUCACUAAGUUCGUUUGAACUUACUCUGUUACUUUUCCUUCCUCAAGCGUAUUGAUAGUAGAAGAGGAAUUAGUUGAAGGGGACUACGCUAGAGUUGCGGUUGUGGGUAAGCCACUUUCUUAUUUUUGUAUCAUGCAUGACUAUUUUGGCAGGUGGCGUAUAGAUCUGUUUUGUAAUCAAAUUAUGUAAUAAUUUAUGUCUUGUGCAUUGUUUCUAUUUUAAAAAGAGAAUUGCCCCUUACUAUGAAAGUAUGUGCCAAACUUUAGUGAUUUGAUGCUUAAGAUAUCAUCAUUUAUAUAUAUACGCCACAGUUGGACAGUAGAUGGAUAAUAGUUUUUUUUAUAUAAUUACUAAUACUUUUUGUUAAAAAUUCAUUACAAAAUGAAAGAAAAAUAAGUCUUUAACUAAAAAGGAAAUCUUCAUAACUUUUUUUUCUAAAAAUUUAAGUUAAGUUGAAAGGUUUGAAUCCGCCGGUAACACCCCAGUCCUUUGGGCGGUCUAUCUGGCUGAAUGUUAUACACCAUGUUUUCUUGACGGGCUAAGGGGUGUUAUAGUGUGUGGAAAUUCAACAGAAACUAUUAAUCACAUACUGAGACUCUAUUUCCUAGUUGUGGUGACAUGGUUGGUGGUGAUCAUACCAAACAAAAUACAAUAAUUUUUAACAUCAGUUUGGAGGAUUGGUUCGCGAUUAAUUUGUCUAACCUCGAUUAUUUUGCUUGUAAUUUUAAUGAUUAGCCGACCCUUUUUGGUGCUAUUUGUUGGCAAUUAUGGAUUAGAAGAAACAAUUUUAUUUUUAAUGCGGAUUUCAUUGAAGGGGCUAGUGUAUUUGAGAAGAGCUAUAGAAUGAGGGAUGAAUACCUUCACCUUAACCAGGAAAUGGUGAGCUCGUUCAGGCAGAGGCAAACUAAAGUCUUCAAAUUGAUUAGGUAGAUUCCACACGAAGAUGGGUGGCGUAAGGUUAGCACUGAUGGUGCUGUGUGUAAAGUGUUUGGGGAUGCUUCAACCGGUGGAGUAAUCAUGGACAAACAUAGUACUUGGAUUUUUUGUUUUUCUAAAUAUAUUGGUUGUUGCUCUGCACUCAAUGUCGAGCUUUGAGAAGCUUUGGAGGGACUCCAAAUAGCUUGGAGCCUAGGCCUUAAAUGGGUUAUGCUUGAGAUGGAUCAUACAAUAGCUAUCCAAUUGAUUCAAGUGGCGUCAGUUGAGUACCACCUCUCUACCGUGAUAUAAGCAAUGAAAGAUAUAUUUCAACGUUCUUGGAUAAUUCGGGUUUCACAUGUAUUCAGAAAGAGUAACCGAGUCGCCGAUGAACUGGCAGCAAUGACAUUUUCAAGGCCUUUAUGGAGGUAUAUUUAUAUGCAAUCCCCGAAUGAUAUUCUUCAAAGGAUACAUGAUAUUUAUUUAAAAUUUUAACCAUAUAUCUAUAAUUUGAUUUUUAUGAAAAACUUAAAAAAUAAAUAUAAAGAAUGAGACAACGCCACUUGUCAUAUAACUUUGUUAUAUAUAAUAUAAUAUGUGGGACCCGCAUUAAUAAACAAUAUUUUAGGUGGAAUAAUAAAUUUUAAAAAAUUAUUCUAUUUAUUUAGAGAAACAUAAAUAUAAUAAAUCUCGUAUACACUCUUUAGAAUUUAUUGGACAGGGCUUAUGGUUUAAAAUUAUAUAUUAUAUGAAAUAGAUAAUAAUUUUUAAAAGUUAUAUAUGUAUAAAUAAAAUACAUGUAUGUUAGUCCUUUGUUUUUUAAUAAUACAUUCACUUUUUAUUUAUUUAUACUAUCUUAUAUAAUUUUUUUUAUUUUUUUUUGAAUAAUACAAUUUUAAGUACUAAAUCACACUUUUGUUUUUAAAUGAUAUAUUCACUUUCUUCUCGGUUAAAAAUUCCUUAAUUUUUCAUAUUGCAAAAAUUGUUACAGAAAAUAAUGCCCAUAGUAUUUGUAUCUUUCUUUAUUAUUUUCUGAUUUAAUAAAUAUUUAAAAAUUAGAAAGAUGUAAUGCUUUAUUGUUUUAUUUAUCAAUUAUUAUUUUUAAUUUCAAAAUUAUGUAAUAAAUAUGAAUUAAUUAAUGGUGUCUUUUAAAUUAAAUACAAUAAACCUAUGCAUUUAUAUAUAACUACUACUUUACAUUGUUACUAAUUAAAGACACAUUAAUUACUUUAUAAUUAUAAUUAAUAUUAUCAUUUCUACACAUUAAAUUAUUUAAAUUCACUUAUUAACUAACUUACUUUUAUAUUCAAAUUUUGAUAGAUCUCCAUGGCUCUUAUAGUUAUAAUUAAUUUAUACAACAGUAAGUUCAUGCAUUGUAGGGGUAAGAAAACUAGUAUAUAUAUAAUAUAACAAGAUACAAAAGUAUCUACAUUACCAUCUGCCAUCCCUUCUGUUCUAUGGUGCCUAGGAGAAUCAGUAGGGUUGUAAAUCUAUUGCCCCCUAAGUGUUAUUGGUUGGAACAAUCUUUUUUGGAUCUAUCUCCCAAUAUGGGCUACCUCUUUUGGUAUUGCUGAAGUUCCAAAAAGCGCACUAGAAGUCUCACUGAGACUAAGAAUUUGCUCUUUAAAUCACAUCACUCUCAGCUAAUCUAUGUGUGAUCUCAUACAAAGUAGACUAGUGUGUAAAUGGUUUACUAACCUAAAUUGUAUUUCAAAAAUUGAUGACUAGUACAAGGCUUGAAUGGCGAAGUCUUCUAGUACGUCUUUAGUAAUCAUGGUCACAACAUUAAAUCUUCUCACAAAAUCUCUUAAAGAUUCAUCUCCAUGUUGUUUGAUUGACAUCAAGUAUGUCAAUGAUUGUUGGAGGGUUUUGUUCAGCAAAAACCUGUUCAUGAAUAAGUCUGCCAACUGUUUGAAGUUAGAGAUGGAAUGUUGUGGGGGUGUCAAAUACUAAGCAUAAGACGAAUCAUUCUGAGUCAUAGAAAAUGCCCUGCAUUUCACCUCAUCUAAUGCACCCGAAAUGUUCAUGUGAUUAAUAUAAUGGGGCAAGUGAUCUUGAAGGCCCCUUUGCAUAUCAUAAAGCAUCUUGGGAAACUUGAAUGUCGGGGAUACGUAAUAGCGCAAUAUCUUAAGGGCUAAGGGCUCGUUGGUAUAAUUUUUAGGUAACCCUAUAGACUCUGACUUUUUGUAGUACUGCACUCCCUUUUUCAAGUGUUCUAUCUUUUCUUCUAGUGCAUAUUUAUUCAUCUUCCAGCUUUGGCGACCAUUACCAUCUUCAGGAUCAGUAACGUUCCUACUAGUAUGCUGAUGCCUAUGAGUGGACUGGAAAAUUUCAUCUUGCCUCUCCUAGGGAUUAUGCUUGUGGGCAUUUCUAGAUGCCCUCAACUCUUUAAUGAGUUUUCCAUUUCUCUUGUUUCGUGCAUCUGUUUGUCUUUGUUUUUCCAUCAGGUUCUAGAUAAACUUUUGUUGCUCUUCGUACCUUUUCCAUUGAGAGGAUAACUACCCGUCGAGUGACUUCAUUCUAGAAGGGCAUAUUCCCAUUUGCUUUUCUUUAUUUUUUUUUAUCUGGUCCUGGAUAAAUUUAAAUGUAAUGAAAUCCAUUAUAAAUUAAAUUUAUAAUUUACGAUUAAGCUUGUAUUAAAUAUUAAUCAACAAAGAAAAGUAAGGGACGAGAGGAUGAUUGUGGAAAUGUGGAUCCAGUCAUUAAGUUUUGUCACCUUAUGUCAUUAAAAUUGAUCACAUAGCAAUACAUAGUGAAUAAAUGAGGGACACAAGUGUAAAUUAAUCUCUUAAAAAUUUAAUCAAUACAUAAAAUAAAUAUGUGCAUCGCACUGUUUCUUUUUUCCUUUUUUAUAAAAUUAAUUAGAAUGAUGAAUUUUAUUAUAGAUUUAUCUGUUUAAUUAAAAAUAUAAUCAUAGUAAUAGUAAGAGAGUGAUUGAUAUGUUAAAUACAGAUUCUGAGAAUGUUAUGAUAACUUCGCUCAUUUGGAGUACUAAAGUAAAAAGUAGACAAUUCUUGAUGGUCAAAUUUCAACAUAUACGAUAGCUGAUUGUAUAAUAAAAACAUAUUCUGCAUAAGCUUUAGAAUUAAUCAUAUUUGAAUUACCUUUAAAUAAUAUUAGCAAGAUGCUAUUAAAUGAUAAAGCUGGGAAUUCUUAUAUAAGGACAAAUAGAUCUAAAUAUAUAUAUAUAAUCAUAGUAAAAAAAUUGCCAACAUAUAAAGCACGGUUUGCCGACGACACAUGGAAAUUACCACAUCAUUAUCAAUGAAGAUCUUUUGCCAUUUGUUUGUGUUAUGUUAAUAAAUUAUGGGGUGUUUCCAAUGUAUUAAAGUUAAAAAUUUACAAAAAAAAUCUGGUAAUUUUAUUUGCAUGAAAGAUGACCGCAGAAUACAAUACGAAAAAUUAACUAAAGUACGACAUUUAAAAAAAAAACCAAUUAUGUUUGAUUUUCGAUAUUUGAAUUAUAAUCCUUGGAUUUUACAACAACAAAGCCCAAAAUUUCGAACUAUGUUUUGUUUUUUUUUUUUGUAUAAUAUGAUAUUGAUUAAAUUAUUUACUAAUUGACACCUCAAAAUUUAGUGUGAAGUUUCGCCACUGCUACGUACAUAACCAGAGCCAAAUAAAAAAAGAACAAUUACGUUAAACACUUCUCGCGCAGCCUUGUAAAAUUUCUUUGAGAAGUCUUCACAAGACAUUGGAUGCAUAGUAGUACAUCUUGAUCCACCAGUCUCAUUGCAAUUGAGGUAGCUUAUGUUCACUCCUUUCUGCUGGAGAGCCAGGAACGAAGGGAACAAAACCCCGCCCACCAAACACUGGCCGCAUAAAGGCAUUAUCGAACUUGCGCCAGUAGUAAUGAACGGUGUGUGUUGGAGUUGUAAGAAGUGCGCGAAUGCUGCUUGGCUGUUGAACUCCCUUUGGACUAUCUUCAAAUGAAUCCUGAGUACUUCCCAGAAAUGGCACUGUAAUCGAUUUUGGAGAUGAUGAUCCGGAGGGUGCACUUGUUACUUUAGAAUUAGGCAGCAAGAACCUUAUUAGAGGUUUAGUCAUUAGUCCAAAAACCUGAUCAAAGCCAAACCAACAUAUAAAGUGUUACUAACGUCAACAUCUCCAACAAACUAUCAUGCUUAAGCCAAGUAAAUUAUGGAACAUCGAAAGAGAUGCUAAAAUAUGGAUUUCAGGCAUGAGAUUCGACUACCCAAAUACGAACUUCAGCAAUGUAAAACUCGAACCCUCAGUCAAGACUCUAUACAUAUGAAGAAUAAAAGAAAAUGCCAACCAUCAAAUCUCCAAGAGUUAGAAAUGAAGGCCAGAAACAUCUUACCACAGUGCUAAAAAGAACAACAGUGAUGGUGCUUGUAAUCAUAAUGGCAUUACAUCGCAAUUGUGUGUGCCCUGCCCUUGUAAACUGCAUUUAUAUUAAGUAAAAAUCUAUCAGAUUAUAUCAAUCAAACAAAUUUCUUCCUUUCUCUAUCUCGUAUUUUACUCUGACUCUUUAUUAAGUAAAAGUCUAUUGGAUUAUUCACAUUUUCAAACAUGUUGAGGAAAUAUGACCCUCCAAAUGCAUGAAAUAUUAAAAAAAAAGUUGAAGACAUACAUGUAAUAAUUGAAUGAAUCCAAUUAUUUGGAUUGGAGCAAGACAAUUCAAAUCAAUGUGCAAAGUACAUGAUACCAACCUACUGAUAAUACCAAACAAGUAUGGUCGAAAGAAUAUGCCCAAUUAUUUUUCCAGACCCAAAAAUUAAAUAAUUGCUUUGAUUGACUACUAUGAAUUCAUUGUGGAGCUAAUGGACUGUUUAGAUUUUUUGUAUUUUGAGAAACGGAAUAUAUCUUGUGCUAAAGAAGUAUGCAAAGAGUUUGUAGUCAGAAAAGCAAGAUAGGUCUCCCAUAUGGAUUUUAAGAAAAUGUAUGAGGAGCUUAAUGUUUUGUUGCCUUUUAGUCAAGAUGUGAAAGUUCAACAGACUCAAUGAGAGAAAAUGGUUGUUAUGAGUUUUCGGGUUGCUAUUCUUCCAAAAUUUGAGAUACAAUAAAGCUCAGAUCCUUGCUCUUGUUAGUCGUGGUAAGAAAAUAGUCACUGUCAGGAUUCAGAAGGAAUUAUGUUGUUAUUGCUAUGAGUCAGGCCAUAAGAAACGUUAUUAUGUGAAAUUCAAAAUAAGGUUUGAAAAUAUCAAUUAGAAAAUAUUACAAUAUCUAAUAUCAAGACCAUUUCACCAUAUGAGAAAACUUCUCCUAUCAUUGCUAUUGUAGAGUCAAGUAAAUCUAGUAUCUUCUUUCCUUAUUGUCCAAAUAGGCCUUUGAUUCUAGUGCCAAAAUCUAUAACAAGUAAUUCGAAUCUUUGUUUCACCUUUUACUCUUAUGUAUAUUCCUCUAAAGUUACAUUAGCAGAUGGCUCAACUUCUUAUGCCCUUAAGCCUACAACUGUUAAUCCUACCUUGUCAUUUUCUUUGACCUCGAUGUUAAACUAUUUUUUCUUUUAGUUUAACUCUAUUAGUAAUCUCAGCAGUACUUUAAAUUGUUGUCUUAUUUUUUCUAGAUCAUUAUCAUUUUCAAGAUCUUAUGACGAAGUAGAUUGAUAGGAGGUCCACUACAAGAUAUUGUGUUUUAAUUAGAAGAAAUUAUGUAAAUACAACACAAUCUUCUCUAUUUUCAAUCUCAGCAAAUUAUUUCUCCUAGUUUCGUUACAAAAAGGUUUCCGUUUUCCAAAGAAAUAAGAUAAUCCUGAAUUCACCUGAUUAUAAGCAAGUGCCAUAGAUACUGCACCUCUCAUGAGACCAGCCCACCAUAUUAUGAUCUGAACAAAAGAUACAAAAAGAAAUUAGUGACGUCAAAUAACAUUGUUAAUUGAUUUGGAAGCAAAGAAACAAAGAACACCACAAGCUAGUACUUGUUGCCUAAAGCUGAUUUUUUCAUUAGCUGAUUUGUGUGCUAAGUUGGAUAGAAACGACAAGGGAAACACAAAAGCUGCUCUUCCAGCCAUGACCAGUGCAAGCAGUACAGAACUAACAAUAAUUGAUGUUCCAGGUCUGCAAAUAGGAGAUCAAACCCAAUGUCACAAGAACAAAUCAUGUUGUAAAUGGAAGUUAUUUUGUACAAAUUGCAUGGAAGAAAAAAUGGGGUAAAUCUGAAAAAUAUACCUGAAGCAAAGGUUCAAGACCAAAAUGAAUCGUUAACAUACACUUGAAAAAAAAAAUAGUUUUUCCAGAAGGUGCACAGAGUAAUGUUACUCAAACACAGAUACUUGAAGAAAAAUGAAAUGUUUGAAAAACAUAGACAUAGAGCAAACCUGUCAUUUACAAAUUUCCACGUCUCAAUGUCCAAGGCAUCCAUUCCAACAUGGAGAAAGAUGAAAGUCUCACAAACAAACGACAAGGUAGCAAAAGCAUGCCUGUGUUUAAACAAAAGAUCUGAAUCAAUUGAGGCAUAUAAAGAGUUAAAACAUUUCUUUAGGUGUUAAGCAUCUAUCUUAAAAACAAUUAGCAAUAGUUAGAAGGGUGCAACUUGAAUACAAAGCUACAGAAAACCCUAAAUUUAACUGAUGUAACAUAAAGCCGCUUAAGAAGAAGUUUAUUCCCUCCAAAUAUCAAUUACCCAUAACUUUUAUUGCCCCUAAGAUAAUAACAUGGAGGACACAUACUUGGAAGUUAUUCUUGAACUCUCUGUAACAUUGUGCCAGGUAUAAUGCGACAUCACAAUCCCACAAAAGAACACCGUGAGAAUGCCACUCAAAUAGAACAGCUGCAGGGAAUGCAACAUUAGAGUUAUCCAAAUAAAAUAAAGGAAUGCAAUAACUGCUAUAUUACGCUAGAAGAAUCUUACUUCAGCCAUGAUAUAUGAAAGGUAUGCCAUGAGCAUCAUAAGAGCGAAUUCACGGUCUGUUGAGUGCCUGGAUCAUGUUAAAAUCAAGUGCAUAUAAUUAGUUCUAGACUACAAAGACGUUGUACCGUCAAAAACUCUAUUGUAAUAAUAACAUUCAUGUUCAGUUGGAGUCUUCUAUUAAGUAAAACCUUUUAAUAUCACAAAUGAUUAAAAGCAUUACAUCUCUGUAAAACUUAAUUCCCUAGAAGGGAGUAUAAGAUUCUUAUAGAGGUAUUUAUGGUUUUAUUAUUGAAAGCUAGUUGAUAUAAAAUCCAGAUAAAAUCCAAAAUAUACCUGCCAAAGUAUAACGUUUUGAUGAUAUAAGCACUUACCAGCCCAACCUACACAGAAAAGAAAAAUAUUACACCUAGGGGAAAGCUAUGCUACCAGGUUAAUCUGCAAGUGUCACAUACAUGUGUCCGAUAUGGGUAUAGUCAAUUUUUUUCUGUAAGAUUUUCUAUAUAGUUGGAGGGUCCUUAUAAGGACACAUCCUCAUAUACCAAUGUACAAAAAUGUGUUGAACACAAAUGUCUGAUACUCUGAUAUGGGUACUUCAAGAAAAAUGAAAAAUCAGAUCAAUGUAAGAUGAAACUGCAGUGUUCACAGAAUGAAUCAGAUUUGUAUGAAAAGCGCCUUACAGCCACUCCCAGCAGAGUGCUUGCUAAAAAUAAAUACAAAAAGCUGCCAAUAAACUCCAAAGCAAUUCUAUGAUUUGUAUUAGUGAGAUCAAAACUCUGGAUUGCAUUGAAAAGCACCACUGAUGUUGCAUCAUUUACAACACCCUCUCCAAAAACCAGACUGUAGAGUAAUGGAGUCUCAUCCUGAUUAAGCACCUGUACCAUCAGAAGCAGCUUCAGUUUAGUAAGUUUCAUACAGUAGUCCCUCAAUAUAGAAAUGCUACUACAAUUUUAGUUUAUGCAUGCCUGCAGUGUGCAAACAGAAUCUGUAGCAGCAAAGAUUGCACCAAUUGCUGAAAAUUGCGGGAAAAUUAGUAAGAUACACAAACAUGAACUAAGCCAGUUUGAAAAAGAAGGGAGUAAGGUCAAAUACCUAGAAAAUCUCCAAUCUCCAAUGAACCAAUAUCCAUUUCCUUAAAGAACUUGAUAACACCUGUUUGAAGAAUCAGAGUUGCUAUCACAACCAGUAAAUUAAUCUUAAGAAUAUUAGGAUGUACAUCAACAAACCAAGCCAACCCCUAACACUGCCCUUGGCUGCAUAUCCACAGACGUCAUGUAUACAAACAAAAGAUAAAACUAACGAAAUUGUACAUAUGUGUCAACUGUAUCCAUAAAGUUGUAGAAAGUACCAAAAGAUAUAAUUGACCAAGAAAUUAAUGUACCGACAGCCCCAAACAGCAUGAUGGUAAUAAAGUUACGGAAAAAUUGCUUCUUUUUCACAGAAAACCUGGCAAAAAAAGCAAAUAUCAGAAGGAAGACAAGUAAUUAAGUACAUCUAAUCCUCAGUUUUUACUCUUAAAAAGAAUUUUAUUAAAAAAUUAAACCUUGACAUUGUAAAAAGGACACUGUGUUCUUAUAUUUACAAUGUUGAAAACAAGUGGAAAUUCUCAAAGUAAUUAAGUUCAAGCCAUCUAGGUUACUUUGACACUUCAUUUAGUAUCUAUGUCCGAAACAUGAAUUCAAUGCAUAUCAUAUUAUGGGCAUGGGGAUGACCUUUGAAAGAUCUAACAAAAACUUGGAAUAAAUUGAACAAAAUCUUGGACACAUACCAUAUUUUACUCUCACAGCCAAGAAAAAAAAAGUUCCCAUUGAAUAACUGUCGCAUAGCCAUCAAUUUUAGCUUAUAUAAACUAUAACAAACAAUCUCCAUAUUUUCCAUUUACAGGAGAAAUGAAAAUGUGACGAGAACAAACUUACCCAGCAUUGAAUAUAAUAGGGGGUAGAAGAUAAAUAAAGAACAGAUCUUCACUGAAGACAAGAAGACGUGAGCUUUUACCCCCGCUCGUCAACAAAAUAACGACCCCAGUACAAAGACCCUGCCACAAAGUCAAUUAAAAUAAAACAUAUGAGAAAAAAAGCAGAACAAUAAUCCAAGCAUAACAAGACCCUGCUGAAAUGUUCAUGUGAAUAAAUCAACAUUUAUAGAUGUGAUUGUGAAGGGAGGCAUUCACAAUGGCAAGGGCAGUAAUUGAUUCGUUCAUCCAUCGGUUCUCCUCUAAAAGAUGACCGAUCACAAUGGAAGCGCAAAGAAGCGCGACGAAUAGGUUCAUGGAGACCACAGAGGCAUGGUCUGAAUACAAUGUUUGCAACUUGGAUAAGACAGCAGCUAACUGCGAUGCCACCAUUUCGACCUCUUUUUUAUCAAAGAAAUUUAUUGAAAACAAUCAGUUGAUUCUAAUUUAAUUUAGAUUCGAAUUCUCCCUCAACACUGGAUAUCUUCAAAAACUUCCAUUCCUCCUUCAGAGUUCUGCAUUUUACCCAAAAAAAAAAAGAGUUAAAAUCAUUUCUUCGCAUGUUCAUUCUCAAAACCCCCCUUUCUUUCCCCAGUUUUUCAUUCUUUCCGUUUAUAAGGCUACUCCUUGUUUGUUCCUCCAUUUUCUCAUCAACCAAACAUAAAAAGAGAAAAUUAUGGAAUCGAUUUGAAGAACCAAUGAUGACAACAACAUCCAUGAACACCACAUUUGUGUUUCAGCAUUUAAUAACUAUUUUUUUUUACAAUUUUUUUUGCCAUUUCAUUUAAUCAAAACAACAACACAAGUAAAAAAACUUCAAAUUUUCUUUCCUCCCACUAUCUCAGAUACCACACAUCCAAAAGGAAAAGAAAAACUGAAACUUACGAAAUCGUUUUGGUAGACAACAAACGCUUAUUUUAUUUUUAUUUUUUUAUAUACGGGAAUAAUUUGUGAUUUUAUUAAAACAAAACGAAAUUUCGAAAGAAUCCAAAGUCUCAAUGUUUCGAAAAUUUCCGACAAGAUUCUUCUUCGACUCUCCCAAGAAAUUUGCCAAAAAAAAAAAUUCCAGCUUUCAAAAUUUUUUCUUUUCGAUUCGUUGAAAAUAAUUUGAAGCUUUUUUGAAUAUUUCGUGUUUAGAUUUAGAGAAAUGGCAAUGGGAUUGGAGGGUAGCUAAACAGAAGAAAGGAGAGGCGAGUUGCGCGGGUGAUCAACUACAUAAAAGGAAAAUGAAAUGUAUUAAAAUACGACCGAUGAAGAAACAUUUUAAGGUAAAAGUUAAAUCCGGACCGUCAGAUGUAUUGACGGGAUUAGUUACAAAGUAAAUCACAUGGUUUAAUAUGAGAUUGGGUGUAAUGGAGUAUGGGUGUUUAAAAUUGGCGGGUUAUCCUGUUUGGGGAAAUAAUUUGCCCACUAUAUUCAUCCACUUCAUAUGGCUGGUUUUGAGACCCGGUAUUUUCAUAAAUCAGGAGAGGGUGAGGCCGCGAUUCUCAGAUGAUAGCCAAGAAUCUAUGGUUCAUUUAUUGUGAGAUUGUCCCUCUACUGCAGGUAUGUGGUAUAAACUUAUCCCCUCGAGUUACAUAUCUCAGUUUCUUGGGAUGAAUCUAAUGGACUGGAUGAUUGUUAAUCUGGAAAAUAAUGUUGGUAGUAUAGAGUGGGGAAUACACUUUGCUGUUUUAUAUGGAAAAAUAGGAAGAGAGUUAUAUUUCAACAUGAUAGUGUCCAUCCGGAAGAGAUUUUUAGAAUGACCGAAAGUCUCGUUACUAAUAAUUGUAGUAUGAUGAGAACCAAUAGUCUAAAGUCACCCAAUCAAAGUAUUUAUGUAAAGUGGAAUCCUCCAAAGAAGGGCUGGGUCAAAGAUAAUACUGAUAGAACAUCAAUUGAUAAUGGAAACUACUCCACCAUAGGUGGUGUCUUACAUGAUUGUUAUGGUAUUUGGAUAGCAGGAUCGUAUCGAUUUGUUGGAAGAUGUCUAAUUCUCAUAGCUGAAUUAUGGGCAGUAUAUCAUGCUUUACAAGUAGCUCGACAUAGAGUCUAUUCUAAAGUUAUGCAGAUUUUGAAGAUGUUAUGAUGACUUCGCUCAUUCGGGGUAUUAAAGUAGAAAGCAGACAGUUCUCGAUGGUUAAAAUUCAACAUGUAUUUAGAGAAGCUAAUAUAGUUAGUUGCUUGUAUAGCAAAAACGUGUCAUGAGAAUACUUUAGAAUUAGUCAUUUUUUAGUUACCUUUGAUUAAUGUUAAAAUGUUAUUAGAUGAUAAAAUUGGGAAUUCCUAAAGCCACUAAUGGUCUCCUUCUUGUAUUAAAAAAAGAUUUGGCGAGUUAUCCCUAUCUAUGUUAAUAAGAUAAAAUUUGUUAGUAAUAUAUUGGAUAAAUGAAUAGAUAAUAGUUAAAUUACAAUAGUUUUCCUUACGUUUUGAAUAAUAUUAUAUUUUUGUCACUCAAUUUUUAAAAAUUACAUAAUUUUUAUUAAAAUUAUUAAAUUGUUACAUUUUAAUUAGUUGUUCGUUAACUUAUGUUAAGAAGAUGAUAUGGUAUAUUAAUUUAAAGGGUUAAUAAUAAAUUUAGCCCCUAAACUAUAACUAAAAUAUUAAUAUGAUGUUAUUCAAAUUUUUCUUAAUAAUAAUUCUAAAAAAAUAAAAGCAUAUUAAAAAUAAAUAAAUAAUUUAAAAAUAUAUUAAUUUGAUCAAAAAAGGUUUUUCAAAAAAGAAAGUAAAAUAAAUAAAUAAAAUUAAAAAGUACACAAAGUAAUCCCAUGUUUAUACGAAGAGAAACCCAAGCAAAAAGAUUAUGUUUUUUAAAAAAAUAUUAGACAACAAAUUCGAAAAUAUCUAAUCUUUUUACCACUAAUUAUGUUAGUAACCCCAAGAGCUCUGUACCUUUUGGAUUUCUACUUGGUUUUUUUUUUUUAGUAACUAUUUUUGUUCCAUAUUCCUUUUAUAAUUGAGAGUUGAGGAUGGGAUUGUAUUCAGGAUUGUUGUUUGUUUUCUAAAGAAUUCAAUGUUAAUAUUAUUUAACUCAUUAUAGAUAUGCCUGAUUGUUUGUAUUUUUUAAAAUAUAUAUUUAUUUAUUUUAAAGAUGCUUUUAAAUUGUUUGGAAUUAUUAUUAAGAAAAAACUUUAAAAGUAUCAUAUUGAUAUUUUAGUUAUAAUUUAGGGUUAAUUUUUUUAUUAAUCAUUUAAAUUAGCGUGCCACAUCAUCCUCUUAAUUAAAGUUAACAAAUGAGUGAUCAAAAUGUGACAAUUCGAUAACUAUAAUGAUAAUUAUGUUACUUCUGAAAAUUGGAUGAUUGAAAUGUAAUCUUAAUCAAAGUUAAUGAGUCUUUAUUUGAGCAACUCCCUUUGUAUGUAGUGUGUGCGUAUAUAGUAUGGGUAUGUUCCUACCAUACAUUUAUCAGUAUUUCUAAUGCAAUACCAAAAGUUAUAAAUGAUACCAAAACUCUUAGGUUUGCAAAAUAUGCCUUUAAUGUUUUCAUGUUUUUCAUUUUGCCUUAAAUCUUUUUUUGGGUAAACUACACUAUUAGUUACUAAACUAUGUGUAAGUUUUCGUUUUUAAGUUUUCGUUUUAGUCACAUAACUAAAAAGUUACAAUUUGGUCACUAAACUAUUCGAAAGAUUUCAUUUAAGUCACUAAACUAUUCAAAAAAAAUAUUUUAGUCAUUAGAUUGUUAAGUUUUUUUUUUAAGUUCCGCUAGUAAGCUCCAAGCGACAAUUCGAUGGUCAGUAUGGUGGAUCAAUACCAAUCAACGAGUAAAAGAACAUACCUUAGAUCCAAGUCGAUAUGAUUGUCAGUGUCGAAGAUUGAAGAAAAAAUUGUUUGAAUUUUGGUUCGCAGAUUCGUGACACCCAUAGCUAUUUUAUGAAAAAAAAACUGAACUAUAGAAGAGAAUGUGUAACGUCCCAAAACCUCUUUAAUCGAAAAUAAUAUAAGAUAGAUUUUUUUUAGUGAAAUAAGAUAUAAAGAAAGUAAAGUAUAAAGAAUGUUAGAGAAAAAUGAAAUAAAAAGUAUGUUGUGAAAUGUUAAUUUGAGUCAAUGAUUAAAUCAUAAAAUAUGAAAAGUGUUGUGGCCUAAUGUAAAUAUUUAAACUUAAAAUGACAAAAUAUAAGUACGAAAAAGUUUAGGGGCCAAAAGUGCAAAUUACCAUUUUAAGAAAAUGGGUGAAAUUUUAAUAAAUAUUUUUUAAUAAAUUUGAAAUGGAGACAUUGAUAUAUAAAUAAAUCGAAACAUGGACUAAAUUGAAUAAAGUAGAAAAGUACAGGAACUAAUGUGUACUUUUCCAAAUUACGGGUGAAUGACCUAAAUGCAAAUUAUCAUGUAUUAAAUGAUAUUUGGAGACAUAAUCAUGAGGUUAGAAUACCCAAGUGAUGAGGUGUAAAGAAAAAAAAAGAAAAAAUUAUGGAAAUAAGGCUUGAAAUGUGGUGGAAUUUGAUUGGUUGAUAAUAUAAGGACUAAAAUUGAAAUAAAAGAAAAGUAUAGAGAUUUCUAGAAAGGAAAAGGUGGGACAGCAGCAACUAGACAGCAAAAAUAAAAAGAGAAAGAAAAGAAAGAAAAAAGGGGAGAAUAAAAUAAAGAAAGAGAAUAUCUUCCAUGAAUUUUCUUUGAGUUCUACCUAAAAACCAAAGUCUAAUUUCAUAUCCUAGAGGGUUAUGAGGUUGUCUUCUCGGAAAAGUAGUUUCGGGAUCACAAAUCUGAACCAAAAAUAAAUUUUAUUUUUAUUUUAUUAUAUGGUCCAUAAUAUGAUAGAAAUGUUAUGUGAAAAUUUUGAUAAGAAAAUUUUAUCGAUUAUGUGCUUAAUUACGAGAAGGACCAAAUUGCAUAAAAUGUAAAAAUUGAAUUCUAGUUGCUAUAAGGAUUAAAUAGCUAUGAAAUUCAAAAAUUGAGGUCCUUAUUUGGUAAUUAGACCAUUAAAGAAAGUAUGUAGAUAUUUUGGUGACUCGUCCAUGGAAAUUUAGAAAAAGGGCGAGGACUAAAUUGGAAAGUGAAAUAAUUUAAUUAAUUAAAAGAUGAUAAAAAGAAAUAUCAUCUUAUUUUUCUCAUCUUCUUCCCAAAAAAUACAUGGAAACCCUAGGAGAGAGAGGAAACUUUCAUGGCCAAAUUGGGUAAGUUUCCUUGGCCCAUUUUUAGUAAUUUUGAUAUUUUUGAAAUCAGGAUAACUUAAUCUAUUUAUUUAGGGGAUCAAUUUGAGAAGUUGUCAAAGUAUGGAAAAUGGGUCAUGGAUGUAUAUGCUGAAAAUUUGAAAUUUAUGGUAGAAAAUGAAAGGUUGUUGAUAGAUAAAUAACUUUUACAAAGUGAUUUUUGAUGAAAACAUGAUUUAGGGAUUAAAAUGUAAAAUUGUGAAAUUGAAGAAAAAUGUUGAAUUUUUAUGAAUACCUACUGUCUAUGGAGCAUGCGUAAGGUUCAUCCACUGAAACUUGUACCUAUUAUUCACAUGCCAUCUUUUAACGUCAUUAAGCACAACAAGAUUAGCAUAACUUAAACAAGGCAAAUCACUGAAAUAACUUCUUUAACCCUAUUAUAUGUCAUUUAUAACCAUUAUCUGAAAUAACCAAAACUACUAAUAUCGUGAAUGGAUAGUGUGAUGAUGCUCCGACGAGAUUCCAACCGAUCAAGCUUUCUGAUGAUCUACAAACAAAGAAAACAACUAUAUAAGCAACUAGUGCUUAGUGAGCUUGUAUAAAGGAAACUUAAACUUAUUGAACAUAUUAAAUUAAACAACCAACAUACUUUCAUCAUGUCAUGUGCCAAACUUCCUUUCCUAUACACACCACCUUAUAAGGUUAGUAAGUAUAACAUUACAUAUAAGUUUCAAGUAAAUUAUGGCAUAUACGUAAUAAGCAUUUAGGCUUUAUAUAUCUUCCAUCACAUAUAUAUCCAUUACACAUUCUUCUCAUUUGAAUCCACAUAGUUAGUAGAUAAUGAGUAAUAUAGCAUUUAUGAAACAUAACAUAAAUUAAGAAAUGAAUUUCAUGCAUAUUUCAUCCAUCACAUGAUAAAUUCUCAUCCUUUACAUUUCAUAUGUGCAUACCCAUCUUUCCAUUUCAUAUGAACAUUAGUAAUAUUAAUUUUUUAUACAUGCCUUUUCGUUAACUUUUACUUACUCGUUGAAUCAUAUAUAAUAACAUCAGAUACUAGGGAACACCUUUCCAUAUAACCAUAACAUUUUCAAUAAUGCUCACAUAAGCUGUGAAAUGGGUUUGCUCACACGAGCUGUUGGUCAGGAUGUUAGCUACACAAUGUUAUUCACACGAGCUAUGGAGAAUCCGCAAUAAAUGUAGGACCUCAGCCAUCAAUAGGACAUCCAGGACCAGCACCCGAAACAUAUAAUCCCUAAUGACAUGUCAUUUGUAUCCUAAGUGUUUACAAGGUUCAAACGGGUCUCUUUCCAUAUCAUUAUCCGUGACCUUCAUUUUCACAUUAGCAUUUCAAUGUUUUUCCAUGAAAUUUACAUUUUCCAUACUUAACUUUAAUUCUCUUUUCAAUAUAAUAUCUCACAUAACCAUUCAUGAAAUUUACAUGUUCUUAAAUUAAUCAUUAACUACUUUAAUCAUUAAAUUCAAUUAACCAUGUAAUAUAUAAUAAUCAAUCCAAAAUCCACUUACCUUAAUUAUUCAAUAACAAUUAAUAAUUUUACCAUUAAUGCAUGAUUCAAUAUACGAACUUACUUGAACUCAUAACAACUUCUAACAUGAUUAGACCAUUAUUCUUCUACUUUGACUUUUUCGUGAUUUGUGUUCGUUCGAAUUGUUUCUUGAUCUAGAUAAAUAAGUUUAUUCAAUUAAACUCAUUUCAACAUUUAACAUAACCAAUUUAACUUAUAACCUUUAAUAAUUAAAAUUUACGAAAUUUCCCUCAAAUUUUACAUUUUAUGCAAUUUAGUCCUUAAACCCGAAACUUGCAAUUUUACAAUUUUUAACCAUAAAUCAUGCUAACCAAUUUUUUCCCAACCUUAUAACAGCCCAUAUUUAUAAAAAAUUAACAAUAUUUUCCUUGAAUUAUACCAUUUUUAUAAAUAAGUCCCUAAACCUUAAAAUCAUCAAAAAUUACUUAACAAAAUAUGUACAUUUAACAACCAAACUCAACAAUCUUGUAACACCCCAAACCCAGCCUGGAUGUUAUGGCUGAAUCUGGUGAUGUCACAAGGAAUGGGUUUUGAAAAUGUAGUCAUCAUAAUUAAGCUAUUUUGGCUUAUCAAUCCCUAUUUGCUUAUAUCCAUUGUCAAACGAUAUUUACUUAGUAUAUUUGCUAAAGCUUAUUUUACAACGGAAGUCUAGUGAAAACCGUUACUUUUUGAAAUACAUUUUGUAUUUUUAGAAAAAACCCCUUUGUGUAAAGAUCGUCGAUUUCAUAAAAUAUUUUAUCAACGUGCAGAUUAUAAAGCAAAUAAAUCCAAAAUCAAGUUAAAAACCCAACAGUCUAGAAAGUCCCAAAAAUUACAAACUCUUAGAAUUUUAACCCCAAAAUGGUAAAUAAAACCAUAAGUUAAUGACUAAAAACAAUUUUAUGGAAGAGUGGUCAUCGCAGAGUCCCUGCUGUACUGAUCCGCCUAAGUCUGUGGAUUACCUGAACAGAAACAGAUAAACAAAUGUGAGUUUACAUAAACUCAGUGUGUAACCCUAUAGAAAUAGACAUGCGAUACAAACAGAAUCAUACGCAUAGUCAGAUACAAAUACAGAUUUGGGGUCAGGCCCAUUUCAGAUACAGUAAACAGAAUCAGAUAAUCAAAAUCCUACCCCUAUCCUCUAUACACCAUCUCCGACCAUCCCAAUACACUAUGUGGGGUUAAAAACACCCACCCAUCCCUACACACCAUAUUGCGCCGUUAAGACACGUAUCAGAUAUAGUGCAGCCAAUCUGCCAAAAAAUAGGUGAUGAUGGCCAUACUGAACACUUCGUUUGCAUAUAAAUCCCACCCCAAAACAAAUGCAGAUAACAGAUACAGAAUUACAGAACAAACAUGCUUAACAUACUUAGGUACAGAUAACAGACAUGCUUAUUCAGUACAGUCAGACAUACAUUUAGUAUUCUACUCAGAUCAGUCUAUCAAAAUUUCAUCACACACAAAAUAGAGUUUAUUUAGCCCUUACCGACCCUACAGUAGACCCACAGUCGAUCGAAGCGACCCGUGCGACCCUAGGAAAAAUUGCAAAAAUAUGGGUCCACAUACAUGUGUGGCCCACACGCCCAGAUUGGCCUUGCCUAUGCAGCCCACACAGCCACACUCGAGCCACCAUACGAUCGUGAGUUAUGCACGGCCAUGCCUUCAUCGACCACACGGUCGUUUUCUGCGUUUUGAGUACACACCUAUUACGAUUUUGAUGCAAAAGCACUCCCGAGGCCUUCCAAACCUACGAAAAGGCAUGCAACUGCCCAAUUAGCAAUCAAUUUAUGAAUUAGUACCAAUACCCAAAAUAAAGCUUAAGACUUACCUACGCCGAAAAUUGCCGCUAACAUCAUUCAAGCAAAAAGAGCGUUACUCACUGUUCACAACCUUCUCCUACACUAGAAUAAUCGCAGAAAAAUUAAACUCCACAAUUACACUCAUAGAAACUAACUCAAAAAAUAAAACUAUCUCAAAAACACAACGAAACCCUUACCUACACAACAACACGAAAGACGGCAUGUCAAUGUUACGCGGUUUGAAAGGGAAAUUUCAAUAGGAAUCAGAAAAGGAAGAAGCCGAAAGUUAGAAGUGGAAAACAGAGAAAAACAAAACAUCAGAGAGUAAUUUUGUGGAAAACAGAAAAAAAACUGCUAGCAUAUCCCUAUUUUCUCUCCAUUAACCUACUAACAACAGACUUACUCAGAAUUUCUGUUCAACCAAAACUCUCUCAGUCAAACGAGCAAAAAUAAACUCUCGCUCGCGCAAGGAUUAAAACACAGGACCUUCAACCUCGCAACCUCUUACCAUUCGAACCAGCAGGCUCAUUCUUAUAUGAAUUUACAGGUAAUUUAAUAUAAGGCCACUAAACAAAUAUAGGGCUUAAUUCCAAAAAUAAUAUAAUUUGCUAAAGGUAAGGCUUGAACCCAAGACCUCACACACACACACCCAGAACACUUAACCACUGAAGUAGAUACACACUUGUGUAAGAUAUUUAUAGAAACAGGGAUACACAUAUCACGGCGUUACAACUUUACCCCUCUAAAAGAAAUUUCGACCUCAAAAUUUACCUGAUCAGAAUAGAUGAGGAUACUGCAGACGCAUCGAGUCAUUAGGUUCCAACAUAACUUCUUCAGUACCAUAAUUCCGCCAUAGAACCUUUACUAACGGAAUGGAUUUCCUUCUCAAAAUCUUAACAACACGCUCUAGAAUCUAAACUAGCUUCCCUCAAAAGUCAAGUCCAGUCUAAUCUCGAUCUCUUCAAAAUGAAUAAUGUGAGAUAGAUCAGAUCGAUACCGCCUCAACAUCAAAACGUGGAAUACAUCAUAGAUACAGUCUAACUCUAAAGGUAGCUCCAACUGAUAAGCGACCGGUCCUACACGCUUCAGAAUCUGAUACGGCCCAAUAAACCUAAGGCUCAGCUUGCCCUUACGACCAAAUCUCAGAACCUUCUUUCACAGAGAAACCUUAAUAAACAUAAAGUCCCCUUAAAGUAUUCAAUAUCACGCCUCCUCAAAUCUGUAUAGGACUUUUGUUUAUCAGAAGCUGUUUUCAGAAGAUCCCGAAUUAGUCGAACCUUAUCCUUAGUCUCAAAAACCAACUCAGGACCCAAAACCUGACGCUCACCCAAUUCAGUCCAACAUAGCGGAGUGUGACAUUUACGACCAUAUAAAGCCUCGUAAUGUGCCAUCUAGAUGCUAGCUUGGAAGUUAUUGUAGGCGAACUCAACUAACGGCAAAUAAUCCUCCCAACUACCACGGAAAUCAAUCACACAACUCUGAAACAUAUCCUUCAGUAUCUGAAUCACCCUCUCAGAUUGACCAUCGGUUUGAGGAUGGAACGCAGUACUGAAGUCUAAUCUCGAACUUAGAGUCUUGUGCAAUUUUUUCUAGAAUCGAGAUGUGAAGUGAGGAUUUCUAUCAGAAAUGAUCGAAACAGGCACCACAGAAGUCUCACAAUCUCAUAAAUGUAGAGCUUCACUAACUUCUGCAGAGAAUAUCCCAUCCGAAUCGAAAUAAAGUAAGUAGACUUGGUCAAUCAAUCCAUGAUGACCCAAACAGAGUCCUUCUUAGUGGGUGUCAAGGGCAACCCACUAAUGAAGUCCAUCGUUACACGUUUUCAUUUCCAUAAGAGAAUUUUAACUGGUUGCAACAAACCUGAAGGUAACUGGUGCUUGGCCUUAACCUGCUAGCACGUCAGACAUCUAGCCACAAAAUUCGUAACUUCAUGCUUUAAAUCCGGCCACUGGUAUAACUCACAGAGAUCGUGGUACAUCUUAUUACCACCGGGAUGUAUAGCAUAAGGACUACUAUGCGCCUGUUUCAGAAUUAACUGCCUCAACUCAAUGUCAUUUGGUACACAGAUCCGUCCUUGAAAACACAGAACACGAUCAUUGUCCAGCCCAAAAUCUAAAGUACUGCUACUAUCAAUAUGAUGAAAUCGCACACCUAGAGACUUAUCCCCUAUCUGUUUAAUGCGAAUCUAAUCAAUCCAAGUCAGUUUAACUUGCAACUUGGCCAACAAAAUCUCAUUGUCAAACAAACUAAUGUGAGUGAACAUCACCAUCAGAUUAGUCAACACUCUACGACUUAGACCAUCGGCCACCACAUUGGCUUUACCAGGAUGAUACUCUAUGGUGCAGUCAUAAUCUUUAAGCAGUUCAAUCCAUUGCCGCUGCCUAAGGUUCAACUCAUUCUGAGUAAGGAGAUACUUAAUGCUAUUGUGAUCAGUGUAGAUAAUACACCUCUCACCAUAUAGAUAAUGCCUUUAAAUUUUCAAUGCAAAGACUACUGCAGCUAACUCUAGAUCAUGCAUUGGAUAAUUCCGCUCGUGUGUCUUAAGCUACCGAGAUAUUUAAGCCACCACCUUACCAUCUUGUAUUAGUACACAUCCCAAAUCGACGUGUGAUGUAUCACCGUACAUCACAAACUUCUUACAAAAUUCAGGUUGUAUCAGAACAGGAGCCUGAGUCAGAACAGAGUUGAGCUUCUCAAAACUCGUUUGCUGCGCACCAAUCCAAAAAAAAGGAACUCCCUUGUGUAAAAGCUUAGUCAAAUGAACUAUAAUCAGAGAGAACCCCUCAACAAAACGCAAAUAAUAACCUGUUAGACCCAUAAAACUGCGGAUUUUAGACACAUUUUUAGGCUAUUUUCAAUCAUGUUUCGAAGAUCAACUCGAAUCCCUUCAGCAGAAACCACGUGCCCUAGAAAAGUUACCUUUCGCAACCAGAAGUCGCACUUGCUCAACUUGGCGUAGAGCUAUUUCUCACGGAGGAUCUAAAACACUACUCUAAGUUGCUCAUUAUGUUCAUCAUCAGUCUUAGAGUAAACAUGGAUAUCGUCGAUGAAAACUACGAAAAACUGAUCCAGAUAAGGCUAAAACACUAGGUUCAUUAGAUCCAUGAAUGCGGGUAAAGCAUUCGUCAAACCAAAAGGCAUAACUACGAACUCGUAAUGUCCAUAACGAGUCCUAAAUACAGUCUUAUGAACAUCAGCUUCCUUAACCCUCAACUGAUGAUACCCAAAUUGAAGAUUAAUCUUAGAAAACAUUAAAGCCCCUUGGAACUGAUCAAACAGUUGUCGAUCCUCGAAAGCGGAUACUUAUUCUUCACGAUCAACUUAUUCAGUUGUCGAUAACUACUGCACAUCCUCAUAGUCCCAUCCUUUUUCUUAAAAAAUAAAACCGGUGCCCCUACCGGAGACACACUAGGACAGAUGAAUCCACGGUCCAGAAGUUCUUGAAAUUGAGCCUUAAGCUCUGUAAGCUCUUUUGGUGCCAUACGGUAGGGAGCGAUGGACAUCAGAGCUGUACCCGUAAAAUGCUCAAUCCCAAACUCAACCUCUCGAUUCGGAGGUAAACUCGGUAACUCAUCAAGAAAAAAUUCGAAAAAUCCCUUACAAUUCUGAUAUCCCCAAUAGAAGAGUCCCUAGAAACAGAUACACUAAUGUAAGCCAAAUACCCCUCACACCUUUUUCAGACUAGUUUCUCAACCACAAAAGCGAAGAUCACAUUGGAUAGAUAAUCUCGACGCUUACCAAUUACGACCACAUUCUUAUCAUCUUCGAUUCUCAAAAUGACCCACUUGGUGUCACAAUCCAAGCUAACUCGGUGCUUAACCAACCAAUCCAUGCCCAGAAUUAGGUCGAACUCCCUAAACGGAAGCUCCAUCAGAUCUGUCAAAAAAACAAUCCCUUGCACCUCUAACGGAACAUCCUUAUAGAGCUUACUAACCCGAAUAGAAUGCCCCAACAGACUCAGUACGGUAACUUCAAUAGAAGUGCUCUCAACAGAAACCCCCAAGUUUUUAUAUACAGAGCUAGCUACAUAGGAGUGUGUAGAAUCUAUGUCUAUCAGAGCAGUAUAAGGUACAUAAGAAAUUAAGAACGUACCGGUGAUAACAUCUGGAGCAUCUCUAUCCUCUAGGCUCGAGCAGCAUAAACAAAUACAGGUUGCCUCGCUUCUGUCUAGUUAGCACUUCUGCCCAGUUGUAAUAGCCCAUUUUUAGAGAAAUCGGAACAGUGGUUUCGGGACCACAAAUUUGAUCUCAAAAAAAAACUUAUUUUCAUAUUAUUUUAUGGUCUACAGUAUGAAUAGAUAUGGGUUAGGAGUUUUACAUUUAGUUGUAACAGCCCAUUUUUAGAGUAAUUGGAACAGUGGUUUCGGGACCACAAGUCUGAUCCCGAAAAGAAAAUUUGUUUUAAUAUUAUUAUAUGGUCUACAGUAUGAAUAGAUAUGGAUUAGGGGUGUUACAUUUAGUGGUAUCAGAACUAUGGUUUAGUCGGUUCUUGGACUAAACGUAACAUAUGUGGAGUCUAGAAAUACAUGCCAUUAUAUAACCUGUGAUAGUGUGAUAUCUCCCUACUCUGAUGAAAAUUAUUUUACAAAUAGACAGAGAUGCUUUCCAAACCGAGCUAAUUCUGAUACUACUGAAAGUAAUACUCACGUUCUUGAGUAAAAAUGUUACUUAUGAUGAACCAAAAUUAAAAAGGUAUGGGUAAAUGUUUUAUAGUACAUGAGAAUGAUAAAUGUUAUGAUAUAUGAGUAUAGACAUGAAAGUUAAAUUGUGAGGCUUUACCAUCUUCACCCCCUCACCAAUACAGUUUUAUACAAUAGAAUUCACAAGAUUUAUAAUGAUUUAGUUCAGAUAUGUAGAACUAAAGAGUUCAAUGGCUGAACAAUAAAUAAAGCAAUUAAAACUGAGAAUGGGUUAGUAAAUAAAAAUGGGUUCUGAAGAGAGAUUUUAGAUUUUUUUGAAAACUAUUUGGGAUACGCGAUGUCACUAUUAAAGAAAAAAUUUAUUUAUGAGAAAUCGAUUUAAUAUGGUAUCUACAGAAUGGGUUAAUUGAAAAUUUCUUCCAAAUAAGCUUUGUGAGUGAACUGAAUCAUGUGGGAUUAUUGAUGACUAUAUAUGUUAGUGGAUUAGUGAUGAAAUUGUAAAAAUAUUUGAAUAUAGCUGUUAUAAUCGAGUAUAUUACAGCAAUCUCUUUUGGAUAUUUUAUAUGGGUAUUUUAUAUGUACUGUUAGUCUUAAAGAUAUAUGUAACUGUUCAUGUUCGGACGCUAUAAUCAUUAUAUGAAAAGGUUGGCUAAACAUGGUAAUAGACGGAAAUUAUUGCAAUUCUAAUUGAUUCAUGAGUGAUAUUGCUUUAUUUUUCUUUGGUUUUCCAAGCCAUUAUGGGUGAUAAAAGACUUGAUGAUAAGAUUCGUAUGAUACUAUUUUCUACUUCUGUUGGUUGAAGUUCAGAAUAACAAAUAUGUAAAUUACACUGUCUCUAUUAUGACUGUUUAUAGUGUGAAUGUGCAAUAUUACUCUUCUGGACUUUCUCUGAGAUGUCAUCAAUUUUUUUAUUAUUCAACAUGGAUUAUCUUCUCGGAAAUUCAGUAUAGCUUUGCAAUUUGGAUUUUGUUAUCUCAGUUUUCUUGUUAUUUUAUGGUCUGACUGAAACAAAUAUUCAUUGGUCAGUGGUAAUUAUACUUACUACUGUUAUGAAUUCUGACUUGAUCAUGAGAAUUUGGUGAUAUGGAUCACAAAUUAUAGAAACUGUAUUAUUGCACUAGUUGAUAUUGGAGCCACCCUAGGUUUUCCUCUUCUAUCUAAAAAAUAUUAUUGAAGUUGAGGUAUUGUUCUGUUUAUAUUGUUGAAAUGUCAUAUCUAUUAUAGUAUUAUGGUUUUAACCUAUCUGAUGAUUGUGGCCUCGGAAUAAUUUAAAGCUUCGGUAUCCUUUUUAAUUUUUGUGAAAGUAUUUUCUAUGAUAGCUACAUCAGUGAUAUGGAUAUUAUAGAAAGAUGUAAGAUUUGAAUGGAUUGAUAACUGUUAGUAAAGUUUUGACUAGUUGGAAGCUCUAAUGACCGAAGGAUCAGUUCUGGUUCAGUUUGAAUCGGAUAAGGAAUUUAUUAUUACAGUGAUACAUCAUUGAAUAGAUUAGACUGUAUUUUGAUGAAGAAAGGCAAAACAAUGGUCUAUACUUCCAGCCAGAUAAAGCUAUAGGAAAAGAAUUUCCUGAUAUAUGAUCUUAAAUUGACAAUUAUUGUGUUUGCACUGAGAAUUUGGUAACAGUAUCUGUAUGGUGAAAAUAUCAUAUAUGUACUGAUUAUAAAACUUUAAGACACCCGAGGAUAUAGAAAGAGUUGAAUCUAAAAUAGAGUAGAUGAUUUAAAUUAUUGAAAGACCCUGAUUUGGUAAUUGACUAUAAUUCAAGAAAAGUAAAUAUAUUUGCUGAUAUUUUAAGUAGAAAAUCUUUGUUUGCUUUAUGAGCAAUAAAUACUCAAUUGCUAUUAUCUGAGGAAAGAUUAAUUUUAGCUGAACUUAAAGCUAAUUUGAUGUUUCUACAACAGACCGAUGAAGCUCAGAAAAGUGAUAAUAAGUUAUAAGUUAAACGGGUACAGAGUGAAAUAAUUACUGGUUCAGAAUAUCAGAUUUGAAUGUGAUGAUUGUCUGUUAUUCCGAGAUAUAGCCUGUGUACUGAAAAAAUUAAAGCUUGUACAAAAAUUUUUAUACGAAACUUACAAUGGUAAUAUAUCUGUCAUCCAGGAAGUAAGAUAAAUUGAAAAAGAUGUAUUGGUAAACCAGAAGGAAAUGUGAUGUCUCUGAAAUUAUGUCAGCAGAUUAAAGCUAAAUAUCGGGUACUGAUACUUUUAGAAUUGUUACAGCUAAUGAUGACACUAGAACAGAAAUAAGAUAAAGUUAUUAUGAAUUUUAUAUAGGGAUUACUCCCGUCUCAAAAAAAAGAAAGAUGUUAUUUGGGUAAUCACUAAUUGUUUGACAAAGUUCAUACAUUUAUCUUAGUAUGAAUAGAAUUUGAAUUAAAUUAUCUGUAAACGUUAUGAAAAACUCUAGUAACGAUCUAUAACCUUGUUCCGUUGAUAGAUACAGGUUAGGGGUGUUACACCGGUGCUCUCUAUCCAUGGCCCAAACCAUUACCACCCCUAGUCACUCCAUGGCCAUUAGGUGGCUGCUGAACUGCCCUCUGAGGCUGCACCAAACCCGAAGCUGAAGCUUACAUCUAAUUUUCCCACUGUAGAUAGUCUCUAAUACAGUGCUCUAAUGACCCACACCUCAGACAAGCCCCAAUCCUCCUUUAGCACUCGCCCGGGUGGCAGCACCUACUACAAUCACUGCACGGCUGUAACCCGGUAGGAGCAACGGGAGCCCUUACUCUAAUAGGCUCAUCGGAUCUAGCCUUUUUUUAAAGCUUCUAAGCAGAACUAGAGGGCUCCAAAUCCUUCUUGUUUUUUUCCUUUUUUUUUGUCCCUAUUCUGGCACUCCACGAGCUUAACAUCCUCGACGAUCUUCGCAUUUUCAACUAGAACAGUAAACUCUCACUCCCUCUGCGAAGCAAUCAGUACCCUCAAACUGUCUCUUAACCUAUCCUCAAACCGAACACAUCUCUCAUACUCAAAUGCCACCAUGCCUCGAGCGUAGCGACUCAAUCUCAAAAAUUCGACCUCAUACUUGGCCACAGAUCUAUCACCUUGCGAGAGAUUCAUGAACUCACGCCUACGAGCAUCAACAUAACUCGCCCCCACAUACUUACUCUAGAAGGUAGUCUUAAAGAAGUCCCAAGUUAGACAAUUAGGCUGAGUACCCUCCUGAACUGUUAACCACCACUGGUAUGCCUCGUCGCGAAGCAAGGAGACUGCCCCUUAAAUUUCUACUUAGGAGUAUAGUUUAAGUCAUUCAUAGUCCUCUCAGUGGCCUCCAACCACUACUCGGCCACACUAGGGGCGAAUCUAGUGACACCCCUAAAUAGCUCAGCACCAUUAGGCCGGAGUCGUUCAAUUACCGACCCACAGCUUCGAGCUCCAGAAUGGGGUCCAACGACCCUUUCUAAUAUCUUCGGCAUGGCCUAAGAUAGUGUGCUGUCCCUAACCGAAUGGCUUUGAGACCCAUUCUCAGUAGCAGGUGAAACUAGUGUCUCACUCGUAUCUAAAUUCGGCAUACUGCUUAGAGAGGAAAACUCAGCUCGUGCCCCUUACGGCCUCUACCACGACCACGAAUACCAUGUCCGCGAGUUCCAUGAGCACUGUUAGUGUAAUUCGAAUUUUAUCUACAUUAAAAAGUUUUAUGCAUCAGUUCAAGUUAUUUAUUAACAGAUUUUUUAUGCAUAAUUUAUCAGUAGUUCAGAGAUGUUUUCAGAAGUUUUAGUCUCUACCUAUUUCAGUACAGUUUCAGAAAGUACUAACUACAGUGUUUCAGAACAGUUUAAUUUAAGUACAGAGAUACUUACUUGGAUCGACACCGGAGACUCGAUGUACCGCAUACUUCCUCAAUUAUUCAAAUCAUGUAAAAACCAAUCCUUUUUGGAACACAAUUUUGGAACCCAAAGUUCACAAUCGAGUUUUGUAACCUUGUAACACCCUUUAACCCCAAAUUGCUGCUGGAACAGGGUUACGGAGCAUUACUAAACCUAUCGAAAAAUUUACAAUUAAUUCAAAAUAAAUUACACACAUAUCUUGAUUUAAUUAUAAAGUCCCUAUAAUGGACCCUCGAGGUCCAAAUCACACGUUAGAAUCGAAUCGGGACUUUUUCGGAUACUUUGAAUUUUUUUUGUGCGAACUCAAUAUAACCUCUUUAUAAAUAUCUAACAUUCCCCACAAAUUCAAAUCAAGACCAAUCCAAACAAAUUAAUUCAUGAAUUCAUACAUCUCUAAUUAUAACAAACUAGUAAUAUAAAGUUCGAACAAUUUUAUAUUUAUAACAAUCUAACAUAAGAUGUCUAAUUGAUUCAUUUAAAUUAUCAUUCAACAAAACAACCCAAAGCUAUGAUAUAGACUAUGUUUAAGACAUGUAAUUGUAUGGAACAACCAUUAUCAUCAUUUAUAAUUAAUAUUUAUGUAUCAAAAUAACAACAAAUUACAACCUAGGUACAUGCCAUUUUCAAAAGAGAAAAGCACAUCACCACGUAUUUGAGUUCGGGAUUGACUUGGAUGCUGAGUCGUUAGUCACUUUUGUACCUAACCUGCACACGAAAACAAACCGUGCGCUGAGUAUGCACUCAACGGUAUUUCUAUAAACCAAUACUUAAAUAAUUAUAAAAUACAUAUAUAACACUACUCAAAUUCAAUAACUAUUCAAAUAUUCACCUUUCAAUCCAGUACUCUAUUUUAUUUCAAACUGUUUUUACUUAUCCCACGUUGAGUAUUUGCCUUACAUUUGUUUUAACAAACAGUUUAUGUUAUUUUAGAUGUCUUGGGUGUUUUUCUUAUAAAGGGUCGUGUAGGUUUUUAAUUUAAAUUAAAUUAUUUUUUAAUGUCUUUCAAACCUCUUUCCACUGCUAAUGAUUGCUCACAAGUUCCAUGUUCUCUUGAAACUUUAUAAACCCUUUAUUUUUUUUCCCUUCACUUUUGACUUUGGUGGGAUAGUUGGACUGAAUUGCUUGUUUAACUUUUUAGAACUUUAUUUGACAAAGUAAUUAACCUUUUAUAUGGACUAAAGUUUUGUUUUUUUCCCUUUUAUAUGAUUGAUGUUUGAAUGAUCUUAUGUAUUGUUAUAGUUUUGAUAAUAACAUAUGGAGUUUUUGAGCAAUAUUCAGGUUUGAAUACAAUAGCAAGAUGGAGGAUUUAUAGACUAUGUUUUGUGGGGAAUCUGCUUGUUCAGAUAGAUAUGGAAAGCCGUGUGAUUCGGCUUUGUGGCAUUUCAUUAAUCCCUUUUCCUGUAUUAAUCAGUCCAUGAUAAUUUGUUUCAAUAUCCUCCUAUUAGUAAUGCUCUUAUUCAACAUGAUUCAAAAACCAUCACCGAAAACAGUUGGCAUCCCUGCGCGCUUCCGAAACCGUUUUACUUUGCAAAUAGCUUCUGCUAUUGUUAAUGCUGGUAUUGGAUUGGUGUACUUGUGCUUUGGCAUUUGGAUUUUGGAAGAAAAGUUAAGGAAAACACAAACUGUUUUGCCUUUGAAAUUUGUUUAUUGUUAUUCAAUAAUAAUUAGUUAUUCAGUAUCAAACAAUCAAUAACAAUCAGUUAUUCAGUAUAGUAAUUUAGUCAUUCAGUAACUAUCAAAUAUUCAUUGCAGUAGUUUAGUUAUUCAAUAUCUAUAAAUUAUUCAAUACAGUAAUUUAGUUAUUCAGUAACUAUCAAUUAUUCACUAUAGUAGUUUACUCUUAUUAACAUAACUCGGACCUAGACGGAUACACGGAUCCAACCAACACACCAGUACGACACAUUGUGCCUAAUUGGUUUUGUCAAAGUAAACAGUAGUAGUGCGGUACCUAGUACCUCAUCGGAUUAAAUCGAAGUAACAGUAACAGUACGACACUUAUAGUGCCUCAUCGACUCAAGGUCGAAGUAUCCCUAAACACUUCCAAUCCUAUGGCAUGCCAAUUAUAUCCGACUCAGUUUGUUACAGUUAAUAGGGAAUUCAAUUCUUUUCUCAAUUCACAGUAAUUAUUCAUUUCAAUAUCCAUUUCACAAUAAUCACAAUUUCACAUACAUUCAAUUCAAUAUCAAAACACUAAUACUUACCUUAAUAUCUUUCCAUACACAUAUAAUAAUAAAAAUAAAAAUUUAAAUGUUAAGUUCGAUUUAUAGAAAUACAAUCUUACUCUCUGGGUACAACCGAAAUCAACGUAUUCCACCAAUAGUAGGCAGAAUCACGUAGCAAAGAGAUAGUACACUUUAGGCAUUCAUCGGGUGUGCAAGAUAGUUCAUCAAGUACCCGAAUAGUGUUGUCCAACCAAAAUUCUGCUUGCUCGGCAUCAUCGCUGUCUGUAGCUUUAAAUUCAGUAGCCCCAUGUUUUCGGAUUCUGUCAACUGGGGGCUUAUUUAACCUCAUCUGGUCAGUUACCGGAGGUAUCGCAGGUGCAGGGGUUGUAUUAGUCGGGAGUGGGGGUUGUAGAACAGCCGUAUUAGUUCGAAUAUACUAAUUGAACCAAUCAUUCAUCACGCUAUAAAAAGCCUGUCUAGCUUCAUCAUUCUGAUUACUAGCAAUAAGUUGAGAGUCCACCGGCGCUGUCCCUUGCGCGGGAGUAGGCGCUACACUCUCAACAUCAUCAGCUACCGCUCGGUUGGGAUCGGGAUCCAUUACUAUAAGUAAACACAUUUUUAACUGUCAGAAAUCACCAUACUAUCAAAUAAACACAUAAUGGCAUGUAUAGCUAGACCCGAACGUAUUACGGUAGUCCUAGAAUCGACUAAACCGUAGCUCUGAUACCAAUAAAAUUGUAUAUCGGGGUAAUUAGUUAUACUUAUGACUAGUAGCCGAAUGUGCAUAGAGAUCAUGUUAUAAAGCCAAUCAAAAUCAUGCUCUUUGUAUGUGGCUAUUGAGCCGAAAAUGGUAAGGGUUGAUAAGUAUCUUGUGUUUGAGUUUUAGUAAUGAAAAUGAAAUAUGGAUGUGUCAUGAUUUAUUGAUAUAUGUGCAUGAUUAUUCGGAUGAUAACCGGACUAAGAUCCGAAGGCAUUUGUGCUAGUGAUUAUAUCCGGGCAAAGACCCGAAGGCAUUUGUGCGAGUUACUAUAUCCGGGCUAAGUCCCGAAGGCAUUUGUGCGAGUUACUAUAUCCGGGCUAAGUCCCGAAGGCAUUUGUGCGAGUUGCUAUAUCCGGCUAAAUCCCGAAGGUACUUGGGUUUGGAAAUGAGCGAUCUUGCUGUAAUAACUUCAAUUAAUACGCUCAUAAAUCCAAACGAUAAGGUAUGUUUCGUAUAUGCACUAGAAAGGUCGAUUCCUUUUUAAAUAGUAUUCGCUUAAUUGAUUAACAAGCUUCCGGCCUUUAGUUAGGUUCGAUCCUGAGUGCAUGAAUAUAAUGGUUGAAGCGUGAAGUAACCAUGAUUGUGGGAAUAUGCGUAUAUGCAAUCAUUCAUUUAGCCUUACGAACGCUAUAUUUUAGUUGUAAAUAGUUUCAUUACUUAAAACUUACUAAGCAUCAAAAUGCUUAUUCUGUUGCUUUAAUUCUCUGUUUUAUAGAUUUUGUUCGUCAGCUAUCAGACUCGGGAGUGUCAAAGUCGAAGUCGUCCACACUAUCUAAGCCCUUUUGGUACUCUUUUAGUUGAAUUUUGAUAAUGGCAUGUAUAGGGCUGACCCUUGUUGUUAAUUAAGUAUCUUUUGGUAAUGUAUAUUCGUAUAGCCAUGCGAAAAUGGCUCGUAUAUUUUGAAGUAUAUCAUUACGGUCUUAUGAUAUGGUUAUUAAGUGGUGUGGAAAUGUUUGGUAAAGACUAGCCAUUGGAAUGGCCGAUCACGGUCCUAUUGGGGCUACGUACGUCAUGGCUAAUCGUGAUUAUACUUGAAAAUAAUGUAUGUCAAUUUACUAAUGGAUUCAUGGAAACUUAUGAAAUAGGUAAAAUUUACCUUAAAAUAGAUGCUGACAGCAGCAGUGAUGUAAGUUUGAAAAAUCACUAAAAAUAGUAGGAAUGGAAUUAAAUAGUGAAUAAAUUAUGUAAUCGAAUCUUGAUGAGUCUAUUUUCAUAUGAAAGAAACGAAACGACCAUAUGAGCCGUAUUUAUAAUUCUCGAAUUACUCUUCCUCAACUUUCUCCUUUCCUUUCUUUGUCGAGGUCUCCGGUAUUACGUUAGCUACGAAAAUUAAAAUAAUUAUACCAUUAGCAUUAAUUUAUAAUAAUAAUUGAAUUUCUAUCAAAUUUAGUCCUAACUAGAUUUAUCUACUUUUCUAAUUUAAUUCACACUCUAUUUCUAUUCAAAUUUCAUUCAAACUCAAAUUUAACUACUAAAUUUUCAGCAUAUUUCACUAAUUUCGAAUUUUCCUCAAUUUAGUCCCUACAACAUAAAACUUAUAGUUUGCUUCACAAUUUUAUCCCUUUAUUAAUUCUAACUUGAAAUUCCUUCAAUUAAAUCCCUAAUUCAUCUUUUUGUCCAACAUAAAUUAUACUUGAAAACCUAUAAACUUCUAAACUAUCAAAUUAAUUUUAUCAAAACCUUGUUUUAAGACUUCUAAAACAUCAAAAUUAAGAGAAAAUGACUUAAUUAAGCUUACCAAUCAAACUCCAAGUUUCAAAUUCCCUAUUUCCCCUAUUUCUUCUUUCUUUCUUCUUUCCCUGCUCUAUUUCGAAAGCUUCUCUGUUCUUUUACCCUUUUGUUUCUUUUGUCUUUCUUUUUAUUCUUUUAUUAUUUCAUUUGUUUUAUUUAUUUUAUUAACUUAAUAUAUUAUAAUUUAAUUGUUUAAAUAUCUAUCAUAUAAUUAAUAAUAUAAUUGUACAUGAUCAGUACCAUACAUUUGUCAUGAUUUUAUCUAAUUAUUUCAUAAAAAUCUUAUAAAUAAUUAUUUAAUUAAUAACUAUCUUUUUAAUUUAAUAAAAAUAAUAAAUAUUUAUUUACUUUGAUAUUAAGUAAAUACAUAUAUAAAUUACAAAUGUAUAUAUUUUAUUUAGUACACUUGGAUUCAUUAUCACCUUACACUUGUCACCAUUUAAUUUAUUUGUCAUAUAAAAAAUCUUAUAAUAUUAUAAUAAAUAUCUAUUUAAAUAGUUAUAAAUAAUAAUAAAUAUCUAUUUACUUUAAUAAAAAGUAAUUAAAUAAAUAUGUUACAAUUGUAUAUAUAUAUUAUUAUUACAUUUGUAUAUUUUUAUCACCAUCCAUUUGUCAAAAUCAUAUUUUAUUUCAUAAUAAUAAUAAUAAUAUAAUUCAAUUUAAUAACAAUAAUAUAAUAAGAUAUGCUAAUACAUAAAAUCUUGGAUUUUUAUUACUUAUAUGCCGCCUCAUUCCUCUUUAAUAGCUUAAUUUUCAUUUUGGUCCUUAUUAUUUUCUUUUAAUAAAUUAUUAAACUUUUACCAUUUAUUCAAUUUAGUCCUUUUUCCUAAUUACUCUAAAUUAAACUAAAUUUACUUAAUUAAAAUCUAAUUAAACAUACCACUAAACUCAUAAAUAUUUCUAAUAAUUAUUUACGAACUCAUUUUGUUAAGGCGGGGGCCCGAUAAUGUACUUUUCCGAUGCCCGUGAAUUUUGGGUCAUUACAAACCUGAUUUUGAUACCACUAAAUGUAACACCCCAAACUUAGCCUAGAUGUUAUGGUUGAAUUUGGUGAUGUCAUAAUGAAUGGGUUUUGAAAACGUAGUCAUCACAAUUAAGAUGUUUUGAUUUAUCAAUCUCUAUUUGCUUAUAUUCAUUACCAAACGAUAUUUACUUAGUAUAUUUGCCAAAGCUUAUUUUACAGGGGAAGUCCAGCGAAAACCGUUACUUCUUGAAAUCCAUUUUGUACUUUUAGAAAAAAAAACCCCUUUGCGUAAAGACCGUCUGUAACGACCUAAUUUUUAGUGGUGUCGAAAAUGGUAAUUUGAGAUCACUAAAUCCGACAAAUAAGAUUGAAAAAGAUAGUAAUUUAAUAUUUAUGAGUCAAGUAAGGAUUUAGAAGAAUUUUUGAAAUGGUGAAAUUAGUAAAUUAAAAGAAUCUAUUAGGUCAAACGGGUCAAAAAUGAGGUAUCGAGACCUAAAAAUUGAAAAUUGAGCUAUAAAUAUUUUUAUAAAUAUUUAUGAAGUGUCAUUGAGUUAGUAUUAAAGUUUUGUUAGAAAAUUUUAACGUUUGGAUAGCUAAUUAAUUAAAAAGGACUAAAUUGGAAAUAGCGCAAAAUUUGUUAAAUUGUGAGUAAAUAGUUUAAGUAUUUAAAAAGAUGGAUUUAAAGAGCAAUUAGACCCAAAGGUUAAUGGCUGGACAGUUUGGGUAUGAAAUAAGCAAGAAAACAAUGUGAACAAGGGGCAAAAUUGGAAAUAGCAUAAAAGUUAAUAGUUAAAUAAUGAUGUAAUUGAAAAAUCUAGACAUUUCUUCAUAUUUUCUCAGCCAAAACGCCAUAGAAGGUCUGGAGAAAGUUGGUUUUUCAUAUUUUUACAUCAUGUGAGUUUAAUUCUUGCUUUUUUCUUGAUAAUUUUUAUGUUUUUAUGACUUUUACAAUUAGGUCCACUUAUAGAAUUCAUUAGUUUUUGAUUUUAUGGGUGAAAUUGGAAGUUACCCUGGAUGGAUAAGGGAAGUUUAUGAUGAAUUAUUAUGAAAUUUAAGUUCUAAUUUCAUAUUAAGGUGGUUUUAUUAAGUGAUUUUGAUAGGAAAUGAUAUUUAGGACCUAAUAGUGAAAAAGUUGUGAAUUGAAUGUUGCUGUUGAAAUUCAGAAUAUAAAAGGUUUUGAAAUAGUUUAUAAUGAUAAAAUAAAGUUUUAAUUGAGAAAAAUUAGUUCAAUUGAUGAGUGAAUUGAGCAGGGACUAAAUUGUGAAAAUUGUAAAUUUUGGGGUAAAAGUGUAAUUUUAAAUUUUGAACAGCAUAAAUUGUGAAGUGAAAUAGAAAUCAAAUAAAUGCUAAUGAGUAGAAAUAUUUUAUAUUAUAGAUCAAGAAUCCAAAGAAGAAAGAGGAAAAGAAAAAGUUACGGAAUAGUCCCUAAAUUUCAAUAUCUUUUACAAAUUAGCCGGGUAAGUUCAUAUGGUUGAAUUUAGAUGUUUAUUUGUGAAUGAUUGAAGUAAUGUUUUAUUAUAUAUGAAUUUGUUGUGGGAUUGUGUAAAUUUUGUUAAUGAAAGAAUAAAUGUGGAACUGCAAAUUAGGAAAAACGCAGGAUUGAGUACGCUCGUAUCGUGACAUGUGAUGAAUUGACGGAUAAGACCAUGGUUGUUCCAUGGAAAAGUGUGAAAUGUAGGUAUGGUAUCAUCCAUACUGAGUUGUGAUAUGUAGGUAUGGUAUUAUCAAAUCCAUACUGAGUUAAGAAAUGUAGGUAUGGCAUUGCCCAUACCGAGUUGUAAAAAUGUAGGUAUGGUAUUGCCCAUACCGAGUUGUAAAAAUAUAGGUAUGGUAUUUCAAUGAGGAAAACCAUACUGAGUUAUGAAUCGUGGCACUGAACAACGACGUACUCAAUUUCGUAAGCCGUUUCCUAAUUUGAUUAUAAGAAAUAAAAGAGAAGUGAUCCAAAUGAAAGAGAUUGAGUAGUUGUUAUUGUUGAGCUUAACUAUGUGAAUUAUUAUAAUAAUAGUUGUGAAUCGCAGGAAAAUUUAGUAAAUGUUUUGGUAUUGUUUGGAAAUAUUAUGUUUGGUAAGCAUUACUUUUAAACCUAUGAACUUACUAAGCUUCAAUAAGCUUACUUGUGUGUGUUUGAUAUUUUUAUGUAGAUUGAAUUGAAGUGAAGUUGGUAGAUCGGAUCAACACAACAAAGCACACUAUCCAGAUCAAUUCCGGUAGCUUUUGUUUUAUGUUUGAAGAUUUAUAUGGCAUGUAUAGAGUUUAAAUGAAAUGAAGUAAAGAUGUUAUAAACUAGUUAACAACAUUUUGUACUAAAACAGUUUUUGGUUAGUAGCAGUAGUUUGAGUUUGAAAAUUUACCAUAAAUCAUGAAAAUCUAAUUAGAGGUUGAAUAAAAUAUUAAAUUAAAUCUUGUUGAAUCUAGUUUCACAUAGAAUAAACGGUGUAAGCAAAAGGCUUUCAUAUCAGGAGAUAUUUGAAUUUUUGUGAGACAAGGUCAGAGUGAUUUUGAACCCCCUGUUCUGAUUUGUAAAAAUCAUUAAAAAUUGUAAAAAAUUAAUUAGGAGUCAUACUAUAUAUGUAUCAAUUCCUUAUUGAGUCUAUUUUUAAAAGAAGUAAACGGCUUGGUUAUUUGAAUUCUGUACAUGGAGAAAUUUGGUUCGUAGUGCACAGGGGUCAGAGUAGCCGAACCCUGAAACAGAGGAGAUUUCAACUAAUAAACUGUACUAAUUGGCCCAACCAAAAAUUCUAGAAAAACAUUAGUAAGUAGAUAUAUGAGCCUAGAUUUGGGGAAAAUUUACAGAUUUGGAUUUUGAGUUUUUUAACUCGAGAUAUGAUUUUUUUGCGUCUGUAAUGCAGUUGGACAGCUUGUCUGGAAAGUGUGAUAUAAAUUGUUUGAAUUUGUUUAAGUGCUCAAAUAAGUUUAGUAAUGCCUCGUGCUCGACUCCGGCGACGGUUUCGGGUAAAAGGGGGCAUUACACUGUCGAUUUCAUAAAAUUUUUUAUCAGUAUGCAGAUUAUCGAGCAAAUAAAUCCAAAAUCAAGUUAAAAACCAAAUAGUCCAAAAAGUCCCAAAAAUUACAAACUUUCAAAAUUUUAACCCAAAAAUGGUAAAUAAAACCAUAAAUGGUAAAUAAAACCAUAAGUUAAUGACUAAAAAGAGUUUUAUGGUAGAGUGCUCACCGCUGAGUCCCUAGUGCACCUAUCCGCCUAAAUCUGUGGAUUACCUGAACAGAAAUAGACAAACAAAGGUGAGUUUACGUAAACUCAGUGUGUAACCCAACAGAAAUAGACAUGCGAUACAAACAGAAUCAUAUGCACAGUCAGAUACAGAUACAGAUUUGGGCUUAGGCCCAUUUCAGAUACAGUAAAUAGAAUUAGAUAAUCAGAAUCCUACCCACAUCCUCUAUACAUCAUCUCCGACCAUCCCAACACACCAUGUGGGGUUAAAAACACUCACCUAUCCCUGCACACCAUAUUGUGCCGUUACGACACGUAUCAGAUAUAGUGCAGCCAAGCUGCCAGAAAAUAGGCAAUGAUAGUUGUACAGAACAUUUCCUCCGUAUAUAAAUCCCACCCCAAAACAGAUGCAGAUAACAGAUACAGAAUUACAAAACAAACAUGCUUAACAUACUUAGGUACAGAUAACAGACAUGCUUAUACAGUACAGUCAGACAUACAUUUAGUAUUCUACUCAGAUCAAUCUAUCAAAAUUUCAUCGCACACAGAAUAGGGUUUAUUUAGCCCUUACCAACCCUACAGUAGGCCUAUAGUCGAUCGAAGCGACCCGUGUGACCCUAGGAAAAAUUAUAGAAAUAUAGGCCCAUAUGCCCGUGUGGCUUGCCCACACGCCCAUAUUGGCCUUGACCGUGUAGCCUACACGGCCUGGCCCAAAAAUCCACACGCCCGUGUGCCAUGCCUGUGUGGGCCCACACGCCUAAAUUAGCCUAGCUCGUGUGGCCGUGUGUGUUGCGAACGGCUAUGCCUUCGUCGACCACACGGCCUACCACAGGCGUCAGAUUCGUUUUUCGACUUUUACCGAAAUCUCUUUUUUCUACGUUUCGGGUACACAUCUGUUAAGGUUUUGAUGCAAAAUCACUUCCAAGGCCUUCUAAACCUACGAAAAGGCAUCCAAUUGCCCAAUUAGCAAUCAAUUUACAAAUUGGUCCAAAACCCGAAAUCACGCUCAAGACUUACCUAUGCCGAAAAUCACCGCUAACACCGUUCAAGCAAAAGGGCAUUACUUACUGUUCACAGCCUUCUCCUACACCAGAAUAAUCGCAAAAAAAUCAAACUCCAUGAUUACACCCGCAGAAACUAACUCAUAAAACAAAUCUAUCUCAAAAAUACAACGAAACCCUUACCUACACAAAAACAUAGAGGACGACACGUCAAUGUUACACGGUUUGAAAGGGAAAUUUCAAUAGGAAUAAGAAAAGGAAGAAGCUGAAAGUUGGAAGUGGAAAACAAAGAAAAACAAAACAUCAGAGGGAAUAAUUUUGGGGAAAAUAGAAAAGAAGAAAUAGCUAGCAUAUCCCUAAUUCCUAUCUACUAACCCACUAACAACCCACUUACUCAAAAUUUCUAUUCAACCGAAACUCUCUCAGUGAAACGAGCAAAAAUAAACUUUCUCGCUCUCGCAAAGAUUUGAACACAAGACCUCCAACCUCGCAACCCUUUAUCACUCGAACCAGCAGGCUUAUUCUUAUAUGAAUUUAUAUAUAAUUUAAUAUAAGCCCACUGAAUAAAAAUAGGGCUUAAUUCCAAAAAUAACAUAAUUUGCUAAAAGUAAGGCUUGAACCUAAGACCUCACACAUACACCUAAAACACUUAACCACUGAAGCAGAUACACACUUAUGUUAGAUAUUUAUAGGAACAAGAAUAUACAUAUCAGGGUGUUACAAAUCUACCAUAAAACUUCAAAAAUAUAUUAUAUUCAUCCAUAGAACAAUUUAUAACAUUUAACAGUUUUACAAUUUGACCCUGAAUUAACUAAAUUAAAUUAAUAAGAACUCAAAAACAUAAAAAUUUAUUAAAAUGGGGGCAAAAUUUACUCACCAUGCAUGAAUAAUCAAUCAUGGUCGAAUGCUUUGGUUCCUUAUCCAUGGAAAUUCGGCUGUUCACAUCACUUGGAAAAGAUGACAUUGUUUUCAUCUUUAUUUUAACUUAAUUUAUUAAUUAAUUAUUAAUUAAUUACCAUUUUACCCUUAUAAUAAUAACAUUAAAAUGACAAAACCAUGCCCAUCAUUGUCCACUAUCAACAUACAUGGUAUAAUUACCCACAAAAUCCUUUAAUUUAAAAUUUUAUUGCCAUGUGAAUCUUUUAACAUAUAGAACUUAACUUUUGCAUCUUUUACAGUUUAACCAUUUUCUCUCAAUUAACUAUUUAAACAUUAAAAUUUCUUAACUAAAAUUUAAUAUUAUCCUAAUAACGCCCUGCAAAUAUUUAAAAAAUAUAUUUACAAGCUCAAUUUAUAGAAACGAGGUCCCAAUACCUUAUUUUCUAAACUCACUUGACUUUAGGGACACACCACUUAAACUUAGUUAUUCAUUCAAAUAGUAUAAUUUACCAUAUCAAAAUCAAAAUCAAAUAUAAUACAAUAUUCGACUCGUAAAUAUUAAAUAAUAAUAUUUACGUACUCACUUUUCGGAUUUAUGGUCUCGAAACCAUUAUUUCUGACAUCACUGAGAAAUAGGCUAUUACAAGUUGGAUGACGAAAAUGAACAUUGAGUUAAUGAUAGGUGACCAAAAUGAAAAUGAUUGUUAAUAAUAGUGCGAAAAAUGAAAAUUUUUUAUUUUUGGUCACAAAAAUUUAAACGACAUUAGGAUUUAAGAUAAACUACGAAGUUAAUCAUCCAACUUUGAUAAUUUUUUAUUUUUGGUGCCUAAAAUAAAAACUUAUCAAAGUUGGAUGAUUAACUUCGUAGUUUAUCUUAAAUCCUAAUGUCGUUUAAAUUUUUGUUUAAAUAUGCCAAAGGCCCCUAUACUCUUUCAAAAAUUAAAAUUUAGCCCAUAUACUUUAAUUUUGAAACAUUGAGUUCCUGUACUUUUUUAUUUAAAAAUCUUAGUCCCUCAGUCUAAUUUAGCCAUUAAAGUUAACAAUGUCAAAGGUAAAACAACUUUUUCAACCCUUAACAUUUACAAUUUUUUUUAUCAAUUUGAUCCUUACCAAUUAAAAGUACAUAAACAUUUAAAAAUAUAUUUUUUCCAUAUUUUAAAUAACAAUAUAAAAAUUAUGAAAAAAAUAAAAUCUCUUGAAAAUUAAAAAAUUACUAGCGAUAGUGGCCACUACCGUCAACACUUCAUUAGCCAUUUCAAAACACUUGCCUUAGCAAUCUCCCCUUUUGACAAUUGUUUUGAACAAAACUUGUAACACCUCUCACCUAUCCCGACAUAUGGUAUCAGCGGGAGUUGCUAUCGAAGCACUUUUAGAAUUUAACCAAAAAAUUUCUUUUUAAAUAAAUACUUGUUUCGCAAUCCAUUAACAUUCUUUAAAUCAAAAUGGGAAAGUUUAGAAAAGUUUAAUUACAAUUAUAAAUUAUUUCAGGUCUUUGAAAAUAUAAAUGGACAUUACCAAUUCAUAAAACAAGUUUUUGAAGCUUAUUGACUUAAAACAAAGUCAUUUGAGUUACGAAAAGUAGGAAUUUUACCAUAAUCUAAAACUUUAAAACAUUUUUUAUAAUCACUUAUCUAACUUUAAGACAAUUAAAAAACUUUAGAGAGAAUUUAAAAUCAUUUUAAAGUUAUUUAGGGUAAUCGGAGGUAUUUGAGACCCAAAAUAGACCUAGAAAAUCAAAACAAUACAAAACAAUGCAGUGUUUUGGACGUGGGAUAGUUGUCGUGUCACAAGUCCUCAGUUGUGCUGAUACAAGUCCCUGUUAUUGUUAGAAAAUCAUGUUUAGAACAAUGUUUUUAGGCAAAGAGGAAGUUUAAAAGUUUUCUUGAAACUGAGCAUUGUGAUAUUUAUAACAAUAAACUCUUAAUUGAAAUUAUACUUGUGUUUUGUACAAGGCAGUGUAAGUCGAUCUGAGCUUUCCAUUGAAUGACAUUCUUCGCUAUCAUCGAACUUUAAAUUCCUUUGAUUGUGGGCUCAAACAAAACAAACCAUGUGCACAAAAAGAAAAUUUUUCUUAACUUUUAGUAAGAAAGUUAAUUCUCUGUAUAACCGGAAGCUAUGAGAUUUUUUGAGAAAAUAGGAAAAAUAAAUUACCGUUAUUUUUUGACAGAAUAACUACUCUCAGUAAUGUGUGUGUAAAUAAUUUAGCUCAUAGUUCCUAUUUAUAGAUAAAUUGUAAUACCCUCAUCUGUCUCGAUGAUUUGUACAGACGGAAGACGCUACUAAAAUAUUUUCUAUACAAAAACCAUGACUUUAUUUAAGAAAAUAAGGAAUGAAACUUUUUUUUAUAUAAAAUCUUAGAGAAUAGAUAAAAUCAAUUUUAGAGUAUUGAAAUCUUGAACAGAUCAUUUUGAAAUGAUUUGUUGAUGUUCGGAAGUGCCCGAGACAAAAAAUAUGAGUUAUAAACACUCAAGAUUCAUACCAAAACAUUUCCCAAUAAGUCUCUUGUAAAACAUGCUUCAAGAUUAACUAAUUUCCAGCAAAACUCAAUAUAAAACAUAGUCAAAAUGGAACAGAACUUGUCAAACAUGCAAGAUUCAUACAAAUAUUCUAAGACUUAUAUCGAACCAUCCAAAUCUAAGUUCAAAUAAGGCAAUUAUUGGCAUGUAUACCACCAUAUCAAAAGUCAUAACAUUUUGGUUUAAAGCUAUUUAAAACAUGUUCAAAACAUAGAGAUAGUCCAAUAACCAUUAGAAAUUUAUAGUGAUAUGAAACAAACAUAUAUGCAUUCCCAAGGGUGUGAAUAGUAUUGCUUCUAAGAAGUACUUUUGGAACAAAAAUAUUUUUAAAUAAUUUACCUCAUGAGAGAAAAAGUACUUUUCCUAAACCAAAAAAUGGUCCAAAAGCAAUUUUUUCAAAACCUGAAAAUAUUAGCUUCUCCUCAAAUGUGUUUUUUUCCCCAAAAGCACUUCUAAGAAGCAUUGCUAAUGUAACGACCCAAUAGUUAGGGUGUCAAAAAAUAAAAUUUGGGACUCCGUUUCCGUAAAACGAACCCGUAAAUAUUUUUAUUUAAAUAUUUAUGAGGUAGUUAGUAGUGAAUUUUAUUUUGAUUAAGUGAAUUUUGAGAAAUUAAGAAUUACUAAGGUACAGGGACUAAAUCGCAUAAGGGUUAAAAGUUGAAUUAUAGAUUAAAAUUAAUAGAGGGACUAAAGUAGUAAUUAUCCAAUUACCUAAGGUUAGUGGACAGCAUUAACAUGUAUAAUAUAAAUAGUAUAAUUAAUAAUUAUUAUGAAAUGUAUAUACAUAUAUGUGAUUUUAUAAUAAAAACAUAAUAAAAGAAAUAAUAAAAAGUAAGUGGUAGCAUGCAAAUUAAUAGAAAAUGAAGAAAGAAGAGAAAGAAAGAAAGAAGGAGUGACUGACGGCACCUUAGGGAUUUAUAAGUUUUAAGUUUAUUGGCUAGUUAAUUUAGUCUCUUUUCUUGUAAUUUUUAUAUUUUUGAAAUCCCAAUGUUUAAAGCUAUUAGGCCCAUAUUGAAAUUUUAGCAUUGAUUAAGAUUUUAUAUGUUGUUAUUGUUGAGUAGUUUUAGUAUUAGAGAUUAAAUUGAUAGAUUUUUAAGUUAGAAAUGGAAAAGGACUAAGUCGUAGAACAAAUUAUAAAUUUUGAAAAUAAGGAAUAAAUUGUGAAAAAUUCAAAAUUUAAGGGUAUAAUUAAAAAUAGAGAGUUAAAUUUAACUCAAGGUGAAAUUGGUAUAAAAAAUAUAGGAUUAAAUGUGGAAGUUAAAAAUUAGUCUCGGUUUAUGGGUUAAAUUGGAAUUUAAGAAAAUAUUGUGUAAAAAUUGUGUAGUAUUAAUGUAUUUGAUUAUUUUAAUUUCGUACCUAACGUCAUACCAGAAUCAUCGACUAAAAAGGGGAGAGAUAAAAUUGACGCCGAAUAGCUUGGAAUCCACAGCCUGUGUUCAUAUAAUCCGAACUAAGUUAAAAAUUAUUGCAUUUUGAAUUAUUGCAUAUGGUAAGCAUUGGAAGUAAGAAUUAUGGUGCUUUACAAUUUAAUUGAAUUCAUAGUUGAUUGAAUUGGAUUAAUUUUGUAUAUGUUAUGAAUGUAUUGAGUAUUUGAAAAUUGAAAUAAAUAUAUGUUUAAAUGUGAUAUUGUGCAAAUAUGAGAAUUGGUUAUUGGUUGUAUUUGUAAGUGAUAUGCACCCUUAUUAACUGUUUCGGGCUAAGUCAGAUAUAAAUGACAUGCCAUAAUAUAGGAAGAGUUCAGGGAUUUCUUCGGCUUCGAGUCGAUGAGGCACUAUGUGCCAAUUUGUUUUGGUUUAACCGAUGAGACACUAGGUGUCAAUUUAUAUAGCGCUGGGUGCAAUUAUUACUUUGAAUUUAUUCGAUGAGGCACUGAGUCCCAAACUGGUGUGUUAGUUAAAUCUAUGUAUCUGUCCGAGUCCGAGUUGUGUUAAUAGGGGUAAUUAAAUAAUAAAGUUCUAUAAUUGAUAUUUAAAUGACAUGGUAUAUGAAAUGGAAAUGAGAUAGUUGAUAGAAAAAUGAAAUAUGAAAUAUGUUGUGAUCAAAUGAAAUAUAUGAGUUAUGUACUCAUGAAUUGAAUAUAGAAUGGAUAAUGUCAUUGUAUAAGGAAAUGUGGAUUGAUAUGUGAAAAAGUUAUUUAUAUAGCAAGUGAUGUGAAUUGAGAUAUUUGUUAUAAACAAUCAAGUAUGAAAACAUAUACAGAUUGAGCAUAGUAUAAAAUGAUGUGAUGAUAUGUAUGAAAUUGAAAUGAUGAUAUAUUGUAAUUGUAAGCUUAGACAAUAAUGUGAUUGUAUAAUUCAAUUAGAGCAUUCAUGUAUCAUUAUGUCUUUAAAUGUUCGGAUUAUAGAAAUAUCGCUGAGUUUACUCAGUGUGCUGUUUUGUUUUCUAUAUGCAGCUUAGGUACUUCUUUUUUGAUCGCCGACUCAGCAUCCAACGAUGAUCCCGAUCUCAAGUGUGAUGAUGUUUACUUUUUGUAACGACAUGCACCUAGGAUGUGUUUGGUUGUUAGUGGUUUUGUCAAUGGGAUGUAAAUUGAGUUUUAAGUAUAAUGUUGGUUUGGUAUAUAAACAUAUGUUUGUGUUGAAGCCAUAAGUUUAGCAUAUUGUUUGAACCAAGGCUUGAUAGGUGUAUGUGAACUUAAGCUUGAUGUUUUAGGUAGAUAUUUGUUAGGCUAAAUUGAGUGAUUUGGUAUGCUUGAAAUCUUGAUUUGAAUGUUGCAUUGGUGAUAUAAAUUGUGGUACCAAUGAGGGUACAUUGGUUAGGCACCUAAGAUGAUUGUUUCAGCAUGUUUUGAGUAUGUUUGAUUGUAUUUUGAAUAGGUUAAAUGAUUCGUUUUUGAGUUAUUUAAUGCCCAAACAAGUAGGAAAUCGUAAACUUGUUGUUUAAGGUACAUUUUAGGUCUACAUGGGCGUAUGACUUGGCCGUGUGAGACACACAGCUUGGCGACAUGGUUGUGUGUCGCCUAUUGAGUGCUUAUGGUGCAAGUCAGAUAGCACAUGGCUUGACAGACGGGCUGGGACACAUCCGUGCAUCCCUAUUUCGAUUGUUACAUGGGCGUGUGUCUCAGCCGUGUGAGGCGCACAGCCAUAUGACCCCUGUUUUCAAAAUUUUGUGAAUUUUUCCUAAGGUUUUCAAAUGAUUUCAAAUUGGUCUUGAUUUGUUUCUAAAGUAUUUUUUAGAGCCUCGAGGGCCUAAUUUAGGGAUGAUAUAUGUAUGUAGGAAUGGUUUGAGUUAUGUUUAUGCUAUUGAAUGAAAUUAAAUGUAAAAGUUCUGAUUGUACGAUAAUGCUCAUAAUUGGGUUAGGGUUGUUAUAACUAAACUAAGCCUAAGAGACUGUAGUACAUCGCAUUAGGAGCUGAAUUACAUAUACAGUUGUUUCAUACUCUUGAAUGAUCAUAAUGGUGUAUGAUGGUGAUCUGAUGAAUAAAUAGAGCUCCAAUCCAGAAAACCUACAUGCAAAAACAAUGGCGCGUUAAACAUAAUGCUUAGUCAAAUAAUAUGGAAAAACUCUGUAUACUUACCUUUCAAGCUAUGGUUUAGACUCCGUACAAAAGACUAAUUAAGAAUUUAAAACACAACAAUGCUAAUGACAUUCAUUUCACAGUUUAGAAAACAAGGAUCAAUUUAGUUUCAUACACACACACACACACACACACACACAUAUAUAUAUAACAACACUUGACAAUUUUAAGAAUUCACUCAUACAAUGAUAAAAUUAGUUUCAAAAGAUAAAAUGAGUGACCAAAAUAAAAACUUAUUAGAGUCGGAUGACUAAAAUGAACAUUAGUUAACGAUGGGUGACCAAAUUGAAAAUGAUUGUUAACGAUAGUGCGAAAAAUGCAAAUUUCUUUUUUUUCGGUGCCUAAAAUAAAAACUUAUGAAAGUUGGAUGGUUAACUUCGUAGUUUAUCUUAAAUCCUAAUAUCGUUUAAAUUUUUUGUUUAAAUAUGCCAAAGGUCCCUAUACUCUUUCAAAAAUUAAAAGUUAGCCCAUAUACUUUAAUUUCGAGAUAUUGAGUCUUUAUAUUUUUUAUUUAAAAAUCUUAGUCCCUCCAUCUAAUUUAGCCAUUAAAGUUAACAAUGUUAAAGGUAAAAUAAGUUUUUCAACCUUUAACAUUUACAAUUUUUUUUUAUCAAUUUGAUCCUUACCAAUUAAAAGUACAUAAACAUUUAAAAAAAUAUUGUUUCCCAUAUUUUAAAUAACAAUAAAAAAAUUAUGAAAAAAAUAAAAAUCCUGAAAAAUAAAAAUAGAAAUAAAAAUAAAAAUAAAAAUAAAAAUAAAAUGAUUUGACAAAUAUUAAACAAAAAUUACAAAAUUCAAUGUUAUCUAAAUCGGAUCAGACCAACCAGUUGAACCGAGAAUCGGUUGGGGUAUCAGUUUGGUGACAGGGAAAAAUGGGUUGACCUACAAAUCGAUAUAGAUUGGUUGAACUGUGCUAAAAAAUCGAUUAAAUCGACAGUUAAACUGAUUUCGAACUAGUUUGAUUAAUUGGUUUCCAGAACGACUAGUCUGACCAAUUCAAAGCAAAUAAAUUACUAAAAAUUUAAAAUUUAAAAUAUUAUAGAAUUAUAAAAUCGAUUCAAUUGACAAUUUAAUAAAUAUUUUAGGCUAGUUCAACCUAUACCGGUUCAUGGAUCAAUCAGUUAUUAAAAUUUUGAAGUUUUUUAGCCCUCAACAUUUAAUAUUUUUUUAAUUAUCCAUACCAUUUAAAAGUACACAUUUUUUAAAUUAAAAUUAUUUUUUUCUUAUUUUAAACAAAAUAUUUUUAAAAAAAAACAUAUAUAUUUUUAAAGAAAUGAAAUAGAACUCUCUAAAAUUAAAAAAAUAGAAGUAAAAAAGAAUUUUUUAAAAAUAUAAAAAAGUACAAAAUUCAAUGUUAUCUAAACCAGACUAGAUCGAUUAGAUCAAUAACCAAUUGGGGUAUCAGUUCGAUGAGAGAUAAAAGUUGGUUGACCUGCAAACCAGUAAAGAUUGGUUGAAUCAGGCUAAAAAACUAAUUGAAUUAGCAUUUGACCAAUUUUUAUAAUUUUUAAUUUUUUUAAUAAUUUAUUUGAUUUCAAUUGAUUGAACUAGUUGUUCUGAGAACCAAUUAAUCAGACUAGUUUAAAGUCGGUUCAAUUGUCUGUUCAAUUUGUAACGCCCCAAUUUUCGGGAAUUCUGUGAAUGUUGGCAUAGGUUUAAUGAUGUUAGUGGGCCUCUAGAAGGCCCAAGCUUAAGAUAGAACUCGGCAAUUUUAGUUAAUUUUUGUUCCAUAAGAAAAAGGGGGUGAAAUUAUGAAAUAGAACCUAUGUAAAAAUGUUUGAAAAUGCUAUAGGCUAAAUUGAAGUGGCCAAAUAAAUAGGAGUGCAAAAUAGGAGGAUUUGCAUGACAAACCUCCCAUUUUACAUGAAGUGGCCAGCCAUCAUGUUGUUGUAGACAAAAUGUGCACUUGAUAUCCAUAAUUUAUGGUACAAAUUGAUACAAAUUGAUAAUGGGUUAGGUAAAUGUUCCAUGAUAAUGGGUUAGGUAAAUGUUUCAUGAUAAUGGGUUAGGUAAAUGUCCCAUGAUAAUGGGUUAGGUAAAUGUUCCAUGAUGGGAAUUUCAUGUCUUUUGUAUUAAAGAAUUAAAUGGAUGAAAUAUGAAUUUUAUUAAAAAAAAAGGGUGAAAAGAACAAAGUUUUGUCCAUCUUUGUUCAUCAUAGCCUAAAGUUAGAGAAGAGAAAGGAGAGGAUAAAGCUCUUGAAUGUUCGGUCACUUGGGGAAGAAAAUUGAAGGUAAGUUCAUGGUAGUUUGCUUCUAUCUUGAGUUUCAUGAGUUCUUCUUGAUUCUACCUUAACUCUUGAAGCAUAUUUUGGUUUUUAGUUGUGUUGUGAGCAUUUAGUCAUGAAUUAAAAUGAAGGAAAUUGUUGUUGUUUCAUGUUCUUUUGAUGAAAAAUGGAAGAUAGGUGAAGUUGAGCCAAACAAAUGAGCAUGCAUGUGCCUUAGAUGCUAAAGGGAAAAAUCGGCUAACAUGUUGUGCUUUAAAAUGAUGAAAUGGAGAUUAUACUUAAGUAAAAUCAUAGAUAUGAGAUGAUUGAUUGGUGAUAUACUUGUUUAAAUAACAUGCAUGCAAGGUAUGUGUGAAAGAGUGAUUUGGUAAUAAAUCUGCUUGGGACAGCAGCAGUAACGUGACUUUGGAAAAUCACCAUAAAUUGUGAGAGAUGAAUUAGAAGCUAAAUAAAUUAUGAAAUUAAAGCUUAAUGAGUCUAGUUUCAAAUGAAAUAAACGAGAACAUAUUUUGAAUUCUGUACAAUGAGAAAUUUGAUUCGUAAUGAAGAGUGGUCAGAUUAGUCCGAAAAAUUGAGAAAAAUCUGGUAUUGAUUGGCUAAACCAAAAAUUCUGAAAAGUUUAUGGAUAGAAGAUACACGAGUCUAUUUUCAGGUAAAAUUAAUGGCACUUGAUUUGGAGUUUCGUAGCUCCAGUUAUAAAUGAUUUAGUGACUGUUGCUCAGGAAGACAGCUUACAGUGAAAUUAUGAUUAUGUGGUAAACACUGACAAAAAUUUGUUAAUGAGUUGCUUACUGAUUUCUUAUAAGCUUACUCUAAUCUGUAGGUGUGGUUGGCCGAAUAUUGUAAGGGGUUAAUACGUAGUUCGUAUGUGAAUAGUUAGAUUAAUGUGUUAGUAAUCCAAUUGUAGGCAGUUCGUGUGUGGAUCUCGUCAGCAUAUCGUCGCAAACAGGUGUGUAACUAACACCCUCUUUCUUAGUCUGGAUCGGCAAAAGUUGAAAAGCCGAAAUGCCGAAAACUGGUAUUUUGUAGAUUUGCGAAUGUGCGAAUGCUCGUGAGGUAAAUCGAUUAAAGUUUUUAGUAAGCUGCAAAAUUUGGACUGCAAAGUGCAUGAUUUCUGUGCCCUCGAUAUUUUUGGGCUUAAUGGGCCAAAAAUUGGAAUGAUAGGCCAACGGGCCCAAUUCGGUAAGAACCCUCGUUACGUGAUUCUGUUAGUACGUGAAAAGUAGGAAUAUGCAUGAAAAACCCUAAAAUAGAUAAAUUACUGAAAUGCCUUUAAAAGUGGAAAAUUUACAGUUUUACCCCUAAUAGAUAAAUUACCGAAAUACCCCUAGGGUUAAAUUGACCUAAAUGCAUGUUUGACUGUUGUUAAUUACUGCAUGCCAUGUUGUUAUUAUCUGAUGCAUGAGAUUGGGAUAUUGACGAAGGAAGUACUGAAAGUGGCUUGUCCACGUACUGGAGGCUUUGCCUCAAUUUACUGUUAACUGAGCAGCAAGGCUGCAACUGUGGAGUGUUGGGCUGGGUGGGUUGAGCUAUUCCCCACAUGGAGUGUAGGGCUGGUACGGGUGGAGUGUAGUGGUUGGUGGGUUGAGUAGUCUCCCCAAAUGGGCUUGCAUAUGUUAUUGAUGUUGCAUGUAUUUUGAAAUGGGCCUAUGGGCCAUACUGUUAUCUGAAUAAGGGGCUAAGGCCUAGUUUAUUGUAAUCUGAAAAGGGCUCUGGUCCAGUACCACUGUUACCUGAAUGGGCUUAGGCCCAAUAGGCUUGAGCUGACUUGGGCUUUGAAUGGGUUUUCCUUACACACUGAGUUUCCCCGAACUCACCCCUUUUAUUUUCAUCCACACAGGAAAUCCCCAACCAGAGUGGACUUGGAGCUGUGAGAGAAUUCAGAGUGGCCACCCGUUCUGAAAGUUUGGUUUUCUUCUGGUGAACUGGACAUCCUAUUAUUUACGUUUGAAGUUUUGGGUUUUUAAAUGUAAUAAGGCCGCUUAAUUAUUUUUGAUGGUUUUAAUAUGUAUUACUAAGAUAGGUAUUACUUAUUUUAACUGUUGAAAUUGGAUAGCUUUAGGGCGCGUUUUCAAAAAUAACAAUUGAUUUCAAAAUAACACGACAGCAAGCAAAGCUUCCGCAAUGAAAGUAUUUUCCAAAAUUAAUCACUUUUCCUAAAAAUGACAUAAUCAAAUCGGUUUCCUAGAAAUAUCCAUGACAUUAAGGUGUGGCAAUGGCAGUAUGCAUGUCUAGGAUUGGAUCCGAAGGGAGCUUGGUACUUAAGCAGUCCGAUGGACUCACCACCUCUUUUCCGAUUUCCUACCUGGUGCACAGCUUCCAUUCACUUUAACCUAUAAUGAAAUUAUCUUUUAAAACACUAAGUAGGUUUUUCUGGAUCAACAAUAUAAAAUGUUUUGAACGCUUCAAUGUGGCAUGUCGGAUCCGGCCAUAACGUCUGGGCCGGGUUUGGGGUGCUACACAAUUAAUUUUUAAUUUGGUUUAACAAGUCCGUACUAAUUCGCGGGUCAACCUAUUUUUUACCUCUAAUAGGAGUGAUAUCCCAUCUGGUUCUAAGUCCGAUUGGCUAGCCCGGUCUAGUUUAGAUGAACUUUGAAUUUUUUAAAUAUUUUUAAUAUCAUUUUUAUUUUUUUAAAAUUUUUAAAAGUUUUUUUUUCUUUUCAAAAAUUAUAUUUUUUAAUUUCUUUUUUUUUUAUUUAAAAAUAAAAAAAUAAUAUUUAAAAAAUUUAACUAAUUUUAAAGGGUAAGGACCAUAUUGACAAAAAAAUAUAAAUGUUAAGGCUUAAAAAAAUUAUUUUAUCUUUGACAGAGUUAAUUUUAAUUAAAAAAAUUAAAGAAAGAGACCAAGACUUUUAAAUAAAAAAAUACAAUGAUUUAAAUAUCUCAAAAUUAAAAUAUAAAGAAUAUAUUUUAAAAUUUAAAUAGUAGGGAGACGUUUGGCAUAUUUAAAGAAGCAAAUCCAUCCUCAGCUUUUAAGAUUGAAUGUGACGUUUCAAUUUUUUUUUUUUUAUUGUGAAGAUAAUGGUUUUUUUGUCAACUGCCUUAACCGCUUUAUAAUAUACAGUUUUGUAGUCACUUCAUAUGAGCCAUUGUUGCUCAUUUGGGCAGUGCUCCAUUCAUUGGUUUAUUUUGUAAUCUCUUUAUAGGUCUUAUUUGGGCAGUGGGCAAUUGAUUGGCUAAUUAUGCUUAGAAGUCAUGCACUGUUUAUUUUGUAACAACAGACGAUAUGUCUGUUUUCUUAUAUGUUAUAUGCAAUUCAGAUAUUUUAACCAAAAAAAAAAAAAAAAACAGGAUUGUUCCAUUCACCACUAACCAAGUUACCAAAACAAAAAACCCUUCCCAAACCCUAGAUCAGUUAUCCUACACCCUUUUCCCUUUUACACAAACAACAACUAAGUUUUGGAAACCAAAAGCCACUGCAUAAAUACACACACCACUACCAUAACAACCCAAAUCAUUCUCCCCCUCUAUCUUUCUAACUUUCCUUAGCAUUCCAACCAACACCACCCUUGAAUGUGGUGUAACAGGAGGAUCGAACUAGGUAAAAAACCGACAACUACUCCUUUUAUAGUUACCAUAAUAUUGACAUUUGAAAAAUCUCUUAUUUAGGUUUUCGUUUGAUUAAGAUAUUCUUAACGGAGUUCGAGAAUCACAACUACAUAUAGGUAUAUUAACAUUAGGUGCUUCCAUCUCUUCUUCUUCUUUUCUCUGUCGUUUGCUUGAAACAAUGAGAGGUUUAUUUUUUUAUUCCUUUUUACCUUAAUAUGUUGUAUAUAAAAGAUUUAAGAUAUUUUUAUAUUAUAAAUUCAUUUAAAAAUGGGGAAAUAGGCUCAAAACAUGGCGAUGACAUGGCAAAAACGUCUGCCAUACUGCCAGCUCUGACUUCCAUCCAUCACUUAACGGGUACUAACGGCCCAGUGAUGAAAUCGUUACAAUUGAAACAUACCAAAACGUAAACUUAAGCAUAAUAAAUACAUGACUAUUUUUGUAGUUUAAAUUAAAACUUUGUUUAGUUGGGCGGUUGGGCUUGGCCACCGAUUUUUGCUUAUCAGUACUCGAGUAAUAUAUCAGGCUUUCUAUUCGGACCUAACCCUGUAAGAACUAAAGAUCGGAGAUCCAGACCCGAUCCGACCUUCCCCUAAAACCCCCCAAAAUCUCUUCUUUAUUUCUUUCUUGCUGCUACUGUUUCCCUGGACUUGCAGUUUUCAAGCUUCAGCUUUUUUUUUUCUUUUUGUUGAUUAUUGAUAUUAUAUAUUUUAAUUAAUUAGGGUUUUCUCCCUCGUUUUUCACUCUAUUAACUGAAUAAGUUUCUGCGUUCCGGUUCUUUGUUCGGUAAGGACAAAGACUGGAAAGAUGGGUGCACAGAAAAAGGGUGCUACUGCUAGGGUUUCAGAAGACCCAGAGGAAUUAGCACGUCAUCCAUUACAAGCCAUUCUCUUAGCUGAUAGCUUCACCACCAAGUUCCGUCCAAUUACUCUCGAACGCCCCAAGGUAUCCGUGCAGACAUUUUUUUUUCAAAUUUUGUUAUAUGUUUUGGUUUAAUUAUAAAAAUUGCCUCUUUGAUUGAAGGUAUUGUUGCCUUUAGUAAAUAUUCCGAUGAUAAAUUAUACAUUAGCAUGGCUUGAAUCGGCGGGCGUGGAGGAGGUUUUCGUGUUCUGCUGUGCUCAUUCGAAACAAGUGAUUGAUUACUUGGAGAGUUCCGAAUGGUCAUCUCAACCAAAUUUUUCGGUUACUACAAUAGAAUCUCACAAUUCCAUCAGUGCUGGUGAUGCUUUGCGUUUGAUUUACGAGCGCAAUGUGGUAAUGGUUUUAUAUAUAUAUAUAUCUUUCCACUAAUUAAAAGUGUGUACUAAGAAAUAUGUUAAUAGGAUAAUGCAUUUACUUGAAAUAUAUACAGUCUUAGACGGAGGAACAAGCCUCUAGUUGAAUGUUCUUUCUUUUGAUCAAUACAAUAUUGGUGGAGGGGGAGGGGAUGACAGGGUUUGAACUCAUGUCGUCUAGGUGUCAGAUGGGGGAAAUACUGGUUCAAGCAAGUUUUGGCUCCUCUAGUUGAAUGUUGAGGUUGAAUAUUAGUGGGCUGGUUAGUUGGUUUCUUUAGUUUGUAAAUACAGGAAAUGAGUUGCUUUUUCUUUGUUAUUGAAUUAUUGUGCAUUUGGGUACGAACUCCAAUUUUUGUAAAAUCUACUCUCCCAAAGUUGCUGAAAUUAAAAUAAUCAUCCCACCAAUUUGUUCAAAGGUGUUUCUCACAAAUUAAUUAUUGAAGUAAAUGUUGUAGAAAGCAAAUUGGUAGUCUGCCAAGACCCACUUGAAUAUUCUGUGAAAACCCAUGGGAAUAGAUCAAACUCCAAAGGCUUAUGUUAAAACUAGGAAUUGGACUAUAGUUACUACUUUGAUGUGACUUAAAGAUCCAAUGAGGUAGUACCAGCUUGCCUCAUCUGUCAUGUCUUGGUCCUGGGCAUUUGUCUUCUAGGCUUAAUCGAUGGGUGAGUUUUGGAGGAGCUUUGAACUGUUGAUCUUUGAGCAUCAUGGAUCACCUCUAUUAAAGUUCAAGCUGGUUUCUGCAAUUAAUUGUUCCUGCAGGAAGUCUUAUUUAUCUUUUAAAUGUGCUUAUUUUCAAAAUAAAGGAAAUGAGGACAACAUCACUAGAAUUCCUUUUUAUUGAACUUUGUUUUCAAUAUGCUUAAAUCUUUUGUAGAGUUCUUGGUUGGGAUGCUUUAUUCUUUUUGUAGAUUUUUGGCAAUUGUAAUCUUAUGUUUGGAAUUUAUUUACGACCAUCAUGGUUUGGAGCUUGUUUCACUCAGUAUGCACGGUUUUUCUCCUUAUCUUUUCAGAUACAUGGAGAUUUUGUUCUUAUUAGUGGAGAUACAGUGAGCAACAUGUCGCUUACACAGGCACUUCAAGAACAUAAAGACAGAAGGAAAAAAGAUGCUAAUGCUAUAAUGACCAUGGUUGUUAAACAGUCAAAGCCUUCACCGAUCACCCAGCAGUCUCGACUUGGUACCGAUGAACUCUUCAUGGCUAUAAAUCCUGUUACGAAACAGCUUCUGUAUUACGAGGAUAAAGCAGAAUAUUCAAAGGGGUUUAUAUCUCUUGAUAAAACAUUGAUAGCUGACAAUCCUUCUGUCAUUCUGCACAAUGACAAACAGGUUUUGUUCUUCAAAUCAUAUUGUGAAAUUAUCUGGUUACUUUUUAUAUUACCUAUUUUGCCAUCAUUAUAUAUAUUCACACAGACACUUAAAAAGGAAUAUAUUAAUAUGUUAUGAUAAAUUUGCUUCUUUUGUGGACGUGGUGUAAAACUUUACAAAUUUUAGUUGUGUUUCUCGGUAUUGAACAGAGUUGUUUGUAAAUAAUUAUAAAAUAGAUGUAAUGAGUGUAUACUUUUUCUUGCUUGGCAAGUGAUUGAUGCCUUAAAACUCUUGCUUGUUUCAUUUGAUGGGUAGCAGUCAAAAUCUCUGUUUUAGUGCUAUUAUAAACUUGUUUGCUCUUCUCCAAACUCAAAUGGCUCUUUACAACAUCACUUUGUUCUUCAUUUUUUUUUUACUCUCAAAAUAUUUUUGCUUUUUAUUUAUUGUACGCUGUCUUUAUCCUUUUUCUCAGUGUAUUCACACUGAAAUCAUUGAUUGUCCAUAAUCAGAAAGAACCUUAAACCUUGAUCUCAACUCUUGGUCCAUUAGAAGUUUCAAAGUUCCUUUUUCAAGCUACAUGGCAUGAAACCUUUUGCUACUGGUUCAGCGAUCUGUCUGUUAGUGGCUUGAUUAGCACAUAUUGCCUGGAUAAAUAUUAAACAUAUAUGAUUUAUGCUACUUGUUUUUAGUCGAAUGAUAUUUUACUAAAUAAUUUGGGUUUGCUUUUGCAGGACUGUUAUAUUGACAUAUGCUCUCAACAAGUACUAAGUCUUUUCACAGACAAUUUUGAUUAUCAACAUCUAAGACGUCAUUUUGUAAAGGGACUGCUGGUUGAUGAUGUAUGUGUUACAUAUCAUACACUUAUAUCAUGUUGUUUUAAAAUAUUUUCUUAUCACUUUUUCACCCUUAAUAAAACAAAAUUGUGUGCUUGCACAUUCAAAGUCAAAGUUUAGAUAAGAAAGAAAAAAACUGGGUGGUUUGUCAUUGUACACUCAAAUGUGCAUUGUCGUGGCAGUCUUAGCUGACCCUUCUGUCCGAAUGAUGUAGAAUUGUCUGCUAAUCUACGGGAAGCUUUAGUCUAGAUCUAUGCUUUGGAAUUUGCAAGCCAGCCUUUUUUGUUUAGUAACAUGCAUCAUAAUUUGUAAAACAUUAUACUUUCCGUUAAUUGUAAUCUAAAAAAAAUUAAUUCAAGAAGCUUUGAUUAUUUUAAUGUUUAUGGGAUAGGUAAACAUGGUGUUGCAUGCGUAAUCAUCAAAACAAUGACUUAUCUAUUCUUUACAAAAUGUAGACAUUUGUAUUCAUUACCCUUAAAAAAUAUAAACAUCGUAAAAAAUUUAUAGGAUAAUAGUUAGAACAUAGAAAUUUUGAAAGGAAGUUUGGUUAUCCUUAGUAAAUAUACUCAUCAUAUAUGUGUAUCUUAGCAUAAUACUGUGCAUAACAUCCAAAUAUAAGAUAGGACGAUGUAGUUGAUGAUGCCGUUUAUGUUAUCUAAUCUUGACAUCUGAUGAUAAACAUAAGAAUAGAAUUGGAGAAAUAUUACAAUUGCAUAUUGUUACCGGGCUGAAUAUCAUAAGAUUUUGUAUCAUAUUGCUUCCACUUUUAUCUAUGGCUGCAGAUCAUGGGUUACAAGAUAUUUACUCAUGAAAUUCACUCAAGUUAUGCUGCUAGGAUAGAUAACUUUCGAAGUUAUGAUACCAUUAGCAAGGACAUAAUUCAGAGGUGGACUUAUCCAUUUGUUCCAGAUGUGCUCUGUGGAAGUUCUGCAAUAAAGGUUGAGAGGCAGGGAACUUAUCGAGCAUCUGGUAUAGAUUGAAACAAAUUAAUGAUUAUUACGUAUUUGACUGCCAUAAAAGUUUCAUGCUUUAAACAUGUAACAUCUCAUCAUUUAUGCUUGUACCUUUUUAAUUUGUUUAGUUCGGGACUUUCCUUGGAAGUGGUUUAAUCAAUUUUUAUUUUCAGAUGUCACACUGUCACGUUCUGCACAAUUUGGUUCAUUCACUUUCAUUGGACAAGGCACCAAAAUAGGGACUGACACAAAAAUCUCUCAUUCUGUUAUUGGAGAAAGGUGCACUAUUGGAUCAAAUGUCACAAUAGAAGGCUCUUAUAUAUGGAAUAAUGUUACCAUUGAAGAUGGCUGUCGGUUAAGGAAUGCAAUAGUAUGUGACGGUGUAAUACUGAAGUCAGGAGCAGUUCUGCAACCUGGAGUUAUUCUAUCUUUCAAGGUAUGCAUCCCUUGGAGCACUUUAUCCCUUUUUUAAUUGUCAAAUGUCAUCAUUAUUAUUACGGUGAUUAGUUUGAAUACAUGUCUACAUGCAGUUAUAUGAAUUUGCAUCAUGCCUCAAGACAUAUACUUGUUCAAAUAUCUAUAAAUGUGAUAGACUAAGAUUUUAUGAUAUAUUAUGGUGACACCAUUAUGGGCUGUCUCCCAACUAAAGUAACUCAAAGUUGUAAGUUUUCUUGGCGGUUUCUGAUUUCUUUCUGGACGUGCAGCUUACAAUUUCUUGUUGCCAUUGAUAAACAAGUCAACCAGAUUUUCUCUUUUGGGAUUUGAAAUGUUUUACCUAAAAAGCUGUAUCUCAAACGUUUGUAAUUGCUAUAUGAACAAUAAUCAUUUCAGUUAUUUUUUUCUUUCUUGUACUUGUGCUUCAUCCUUAUGAUACAACUUCCUGUCUUGUUACAACCAUCAUUCCCACAUCCCCACCCUACCUGGAGUUCUAGCUAUCCCCUUAUAGUGUGUUCAAUUAUAAGUCUGUCUGCAACCUUCCCCAUGGUCAUCCUCAAUCUUCUUUUCAGGUCUUUAUCUUAACUGGAGCUGGAAAUUCGAAACAGCAUACUCAAUUUUGAACCUUGUAUUUUUCUUAUAUAUUCCUUAAUUACAAUAUUUUCUCUGGUUAAUAAUACUUCUUGUAUGGCUCAAAGUUAUGUUCUUUGCAAGAGAUCUGAACAUUUAUUUUCUCCAGGUUGUAGUUGGACAACAGUUUGUUGUUCCUGCCUACUCAAAGGUUUCUUUACUUCAACAGCCAACCCAGCAAGAUAGUGAUGAGGAAUUGGAAUAUGCUGACAGUACUAGUGGCACUGGGGAGCUUCGAUGUAAGUUCCUAGAGCUAUAUGAAUUUUUAAUAUCUGUUUUUUUUUUUAAUGUUUCAGGUAUUUAGCGAAUCUUGUAAUAUUGCAUUCUUCAUUUUCUUUAAACAUAGUAUAUGAAGGUUGCACCUAUUUGUCUUCUUUAUAUCUUUGAUGUCUAGGUUAAUAUAUUACAUCUCUAGAUUCUAUGGUAGGAUGUAAUGAAGGCUGUACUUUAUGCUGUUGAAAGAAGAAGCUUUUGGGAAAUCAUGCUAGUUUAUGGAUUUAGGCAAACGAGUCAGAACUAAUUUCUUCUUUGAUCUAUUCUUUUCUGAGUGCAUUUUUGUUAAAAAAAUUCUGUCCAUGUGCUUUUGUUGUCUCUCUUUGUUGUGUAUCCUGCAUAUCCUUUUCAUCAGUGUAUAGAAAUAUUAGUUAACUUAUUUCUUGGAAAUAAAAUUUUGCAAUUACUUGAUAUCUGUUACGCAACCAGAGCCUUAUGUACUUAACAAAAAAGGAUGAUAAAAGGUGAAAGUUUUUCAAAUUUAUUUUAGACCAACUUUUUCAUUAUUUAUCCUCUUUAAAAUUCUUCCUCUAGUAUAUAUCGCUUUUAUGGAUGUUCUCUUGAAGGAGAGAAAAAAAGAAAAGAAAAGAGAAGCAGUCGAUACACAUAUAACCAAGAGAAGGAUACAUGUCAUGCCAAAGAAAUUCUAUGUUGAGUAUUCAUAGUUAGAAUAUUGUAUGUGUUGUGUGCAUGCUGUAAAUGUGAUGCUUUAUGGACGGCAGACUAUGGAAUAUGCUGAUGAGGUUUGGUUGAAUUGGAAAAAAUAAUGAUAGAACAAAAGUCAUUUUGGUUAACUUGUGAAUGUCUUCAUUCUGUCAGAUUGCCUUCCCCCCCCCCCCGGGUUUUCUCUCUCCCGGGAGAAAGAAAUGUUUUUCCAUACCUUUGAGUAGAGUUGAAUCUAAUUUUUUCUUUCAUUUCCUUCAUUUGAUUUUUAGAUGCUAUAUGCUGUCUUUUUUGUUUUUUUUUCUUUGUUUAUGCAUUACAAUAUUUCUUGGUUAGCACUUCCUUUCUUUCUCUCCUCCUCUUCUCUUUGCUUUGAAGCUUAUAGAAGCAAAAUUUAGCUUUUAUGGAAGAGUAUAUUUCAGCACUUAUAUAAUUGUUUAUAUGUUAUUUUCUUUUUGGAGUAUAUGGUUUAAUGAUUGGUAAUUUGUGCCCGCAAUCUUUGUUCUGUUAUUUUUGCGAUAAGCCACCAUUUUUAUCUCUAGAAAAGGGAGAUCAUUGUUAUAUGUGCUUACAAAAGUUAACAAAGCAAUUUUUGGUGCAGCGGAUAAAUUGAAUGGGGACAUUGCACCUGAUUUAUCUGAGACAGCAUCUGAGGUUGGUUCUAUUGCUUGCUUCUAACAUUAUUUUUUGUUAUUGCUGCCAGUUUUGCUUGCAAGGUGGUGCAGAGUGAAUAUGGAGAAAAUAAGGACUCGUAAGCAAUUGAACAUAAUUAUAAAAUAGGAAAAAAGUAUUAUGAUAUAUCUUUGUUGAUAUAAUUUGUAAAAACACUCAGAGGAAAAAUUCUGUUAUAUUGCUACUGCUUUAGUUGCAGCUUUAUAAAGAGAAAAAUAAUCAUUUUAAAGGAAAUAAAUCCUAAUCCCUAAGAAUCAGUAAUUGAUAUCCUAAUUUCCUAAGAAUCAGUAACUGAGAUUAGUUUCUAUUUACAAGAGAUCACAACAGAUUUCUAUCCUUAAUUAUAGGGAUUCCAAUACCAUCAGAUUUCUAUCCUUAAUUAUAGGGAUUCCAACACUCCCCCUCAAGUUGGAGUGUAGAUGUUAAUCAAACCCAGCUUGCCACUAAGUUCUUCAAACAUGUUUCUGUUUAAACUUUUGGUUAACAUGUCUGCAACUUGUUGUCUAGUAGGUAGGUAGAUGAUGCAUACUUCUCCUGAGUGUACUUUUUCUUUUAUAAAGUGACGAUCUAUUUCCACAUGUUUGGUCCGAUCAUGAUGCACAGGAUUAUGUGCUAUGCUGACAGCAGCCUGGUUGUCACAGUACAUCUUCAUAGGUCUGGUAAAAGGCACUUUUAGUUCUCCCAUAAGUCUUUGUAUCCAAACUCCUUCGCAUAUACCAUGAGAUAGUGCUCGAUACUCUGCCUCUGCACUGCUGCGUGCUACCACAGAUUGUUUUUUGCUCCUCCACGUCACGAGAUUACCCCAAACAUAACUACAAUAGCCGCUUGUAGAGCGUCUAUCAUUAACAGAACCUGUCCAGUCUGCAUCAGUGUAGACUUCCACGCUUCGGUUGAUAGUCUUCUUGAAGUACAGGCCUUUACCAGGAGUUCCUUUUAGGUAUCUUAGUAUUCUAUAUGCAACUUCCAGGUGCUUCUCCCUCGGGGCAUGCAUAUACUGGCUAAUAACACUCACACUGAAGGCUAUGUCUGGACGGGUGUGAGAUAGGUAGAUGAGCCUUCCUACUAGACGUUGAUAUCUCCCCCUGUCGAUUUCUUCUCCAUCCUCAUUAGUUCCCAAUUUGAGGUUAAACUCCAUAGGAGUUUCGGCUGGUUUGCUGCCCAUCAAACCAACUUCCGACAGUAGAUCAAGAAUAUAUUUCCUUUGGGAAAUGAAGAUACCUUUUUUCGACCUUGCUACCUCCAUACCAAGAAAAUAUUUAAGACUCCCCAAGUCUUUAAGUUCAAACUCUGUACCAAGAAAUUCUUUCAAUCUCAAAAUUUCACUCGAGUCAUUUCCUGUUAUUAUUAUAUCGUCAACAUAAACGAUAAGGAUGCAGCAUUUAUCCUCUUCCGAGUGCUUGUAGAACAUGGUGUGGUCUGCCUGUCCUUGAAUGUAAUUUCUGCUAGUCAUAGCUUUUGCAAAUCGGCUGAACCACGCUCGUGGAGAUUGUUUCAGCCCAUGCAAGGACUUCUUCAACUUACACACUUGGUCCUUGUUUUCUUCAAACCCUGGUGGGAAAUCCAUAUACACCUCCUCAUUUAAUUCCCCGUUGAGAAAAGCAUUUUUUACAUCCAAUUGAGUCAAGUGCCAAUCAAGGUUGGCAGCAAGAGAUAGCAGGACCCGAACGGUGUUUAGCUUGGCAACCGGUGCAAACGUCUCGUUGUAGUCGAGACCAUAAGUUUGGGUGAAUCCCUUAGCCACAAGUCGAGCUUUGUAUCGGUCAAUACGGCCAUCGGGUUUAAAUUUCGUAGUGAAAAUCCAUUUGCACCCUACGGUUUUUUUCCCUUUAGGCAGAUCCGAGACUUCCCAUGUUUCAUUGUUUUUGAGGGCAUUCAUUUCUUCCAUCACGGCUUGUCUCCACUCAGCUGAUUCAAGAGCCUCUUCUAUAUUUUUUGGAAUUUUUACAGAAUCAACAUUAGUCAUAAAAGCUCCUUGUACCCUUUCGAACUGCAAUUGGAAGAUAGAUGGAUGGUGACGGAGGUGGGACUUCUGCUUCAGAACAGUCCUCGGUUGGAGAUGUAAUUGGCACUGCUGUAUCAGUUUCAGGAGAACGAUUCCGUCGGGAGUAAACUUGUAUUUGCUGUUUUCCUUGACCAAGUGGCUGUUGUACUUCGGUGGAGGUAUUGUCAUUGGGAAGGACGGUGUUAAAUUCUUGCUGUAUAGGGGAAACAACUAAAUCUGGGAUAGUAGUAGUAGGAUCAGGCGGUAUAAUGAGGAGAGUAUUAAGGGUCUCAUCUUCAUUAAAAAUCUCCCCCUGAAGAUGAGAUGCUGCAAAGUAUGGUUCAUUUUCAAAGAAGGUAACAUCUCGAGAGACAAACAUUCGGCGCAAUGUUGGUGAGUAACACUUAUAGCCUUUUUGUGUAGGGGAAUAUCCAAUGAAGAUACAGGUGUGGGCUCGAGGAUCAAGUUUGGAUUGAUUUGGUUGAUGGUUAUGGACAAAAGCUUUACAGCCGAAUAUUUUGGCUGGAAGAUUAGGGACAUGAAAUAGAGGGAAGGCCUUUAAAAGAGUAUUUAGAGGUGUUUGGAAAUUGAGGAUCUUUGAUGGCAUUCGGUUUAUGAGAUAGCAGGCAGUAAGGACAGCUUCUCCCCACAAGUAUUUUAGAACAUUCAUAGUGAACAUUAUGGCUCGAGCCACAUCAAGAAGAUGACGAUUUUUCCUCUCAGAGAUCCCGUUUUGUUGAGGAGUGUCAGGACAAGAGCUUUGGUGUAUAAUGCCUUGGUCAGAAAGGAAUGGACUUAAGACAGAGUUGAAGUAUUCUCUCCCAUUGUCAGUACAGAGGGUAUGUAUGGUAGAGUUGAAUUGGGUUCGAACCAUUGAGUGAAAAUUUUGGAAUACUUUGGGUGUUUCAGAUUUUUCUUUGAGUAGAUAGACCCAACAGACCCUAGUAUGAUCAUCAAUGAAUGUUAUAAACCAUCUAGCCCCUGUAAUAUUUUUCACUCGGCUGGCUCCCCAUAGGUCACUAUGGAUUAACGAAAAAGGUUGGGACUGAAUAUGUGGUUUUAAUGGGUAUGGCACACGGGUAUGUUUAGAUAAUUGGCAAAUUUCACACUUCAAGGAAUUAAUACUUUUAUUUCGAAAUAACAGCGGAAGAUGUUUUUUCAAAUACACAAAGUUUGGAUGUCCUAACCUACGGUGCCAUAAUAUAAUAGUGUCCUCUUUUGCAGUGGAUAGAGCCAAUCCCCCUUGUGUACUGUUUUUAUUCCAAAUAUAUAGUCCAUCAUCAACUUUAGCAGUGCCAAUCAUCCUCCCCGAUUUCUGUUCCUGUAUCACACAACCAAUUGCAGAAAAUUCAGCAAGAACUUUUUCAUUCUUAGUAAGUUUACUAAUUGAAAGUAAAUUACAGGACAAGUUUGGAACAUGUAGGACUUUAUCGAGAGAAAUUCUCUGUCAUUUGUACUUCUCCUAUUCCAGCCACAGGUGAGUAAGAACCGUCAGCUAUGCGGAUUCGGGAUUUGUUAUAACAAGGAGUGUAGGUGUGAAACAACGUGGAGUCACCUGUCAUGUGAUCAGAGGCGCCCGAAUCGAGUAUCCAAGGAGAUUGAUUAUUAGAUUCAAAAGCAAUGUUGAGGGCAAUACCUUGAGUUGCUAGAGAUCCAUGAGUAGUGGGAGUACCAAGUAUCUUAUGGAGAGUCUCAAGCUGUGUUUUGGUUAAGCGAACAUCAAGAACAUCAUCAGCAGUAGUGGAGGAUAACAUGGCAGUCUUAUUAUCCUUCUGUUUUUUUUCAGGAUAGCCAUGGAGUUUGAAGCAUUUUUCUUUUGUAUGACCAACACGAUUGCAGUGACUACACCAUGGUCUUGUUGAUCCAGAAUCAUUUCCAGCACGUUGUUUUUGUGGCUGUGGACCUUUGGAGAUGAGAGCAGAGGUUUCAGUAGGACGAUUAGAAAUUGGAGUCAUAGGUUUAGGUUCCUUUGAAUCUCCCAUCAUGACAAGAAGACGCUUUUCUUCUCUUCUAACUUCUGCAAAUGCUUCACCGAUCGUUGGAAGAGGUGAUCUACCCAGAAUUCGGCCACGGACCUCAUCUAACUCACGGUUCAGUCCUUCUAAAAACUCAUAAAGACGUUCAUUGUUGAGAUGGACCAUAAACCUGUUGUGUUCUAAGCCUUCACCCUAAUCUGCCUCAUAAUACAUAUCCAGUUCUUGCCACAAAAUUUUCAAAUUGUUAUAGUAGUGAGUUACCUCGAGUGUUCCUUGUCGGAUGUCCUUUAACUUAAGCUUGAUUUCAAAUACUUGGGAGGCGUUUCCAAGAUCUGAGUAGUUUUCUUUGACUGCAUUCCACAUGUCUUUUGCAGUUUUGAAAAAAAGAUAGGUGCGGCUUAUAUGGCCUUCCAUCGAAUUGAUUAGCCAAGCCAUUACAAUUGAAUUGUUGAGUUCCCAAGUGGCAUAAGUAGGAUCAGCCAUGGUUGGUCGUGGGAUUUCUCCAUUGAUGUACCCUAAUUUGCCACGACCACGAAUCACCAUAAGAACCGAUUGAGACCAUUGCAAGAAGUUCUUCCCAUUUAGCCGAUGAUUGGUGAUUAUAAGGGAGGAAUUAAUUUCACCUUGAGUGAUUCCCUGAUUGAUAUUCUGAGUUAUUUGUGAUGUCUCAGUUUCAGAGAAAUUCUCAUUGAUAUCACCCAUUGGAGGACUAAACCACAGAAAUUUUUAGUAAGGGAAUUUAGAGAAAAAAAUAGGAUCGAAUGAAUCCUAUAGCUCUGAUACCAUGUAAAAACACUCAGAGGAAAAAUUCUGUUAUAUUGCUACUGCUUUAGUUUACGCUUUAUGAAGAGAAAAAUAAUCAUUUUAAAGGAAAUAAAUCCUAAUCCCUAAGAAUCAGUAAUUGAUAUCCUAAUUUCCUAAGAAUCAGUAACUGAGAUUAGUUUCUAUUUACAAGAGAUCACAACAGAUUUCUAUCCUUAAUUAUAGGGAUUCCAAUACCAUCAGAUUUCUAUCCUUAAUUAUAGGGAUUCCAACAUAAUUAAAUAGCAUGAGGUUGAGUAUGAAAUGUAUCUUCAGACUCUCUCCCUCAUACUUCUCUGGCAAUUAAAUAAUAAUUUGGAUGAUGCAAUUGUUUAUGCUUUCAGCUUGGUACUGGUGGAGUUGGUUAUAUUUGGACAGUCUUUGAAGGAGCGUAUGAUGAAGAAUGGAGGCAUUCAGUUGCACCUAUUCCCACAGAUAAACUGGUUAAGCUAAUGCUAGAUAAAGAUGAGGAUGAGGAACUGUUAACUCAAGAUGGGAAUGUUAUUUCAGCUUCAAGAGAGCUGAAAACUGAUUCUGAUGGUAAUGGUUCUGAAGAUGACGAUAAUGAAGACUCUAGAGAUGACUAUGUAUCCUUUGAGAAAGAGGUAAUCUGUGACUAUAUUCAUGGUGAUAAUAUGUAGUAUAGAGAACUAUUUAUAGUUUCCAUUCCAAUGGGCAGGUUGAAGCUACCUUUUUAAGGGCUGUUCAUGAAAAUGUCAAAGUAGACCUUGCAGUCUUAGAGGUGAAUGCACUUCGGUAAGUUACAUUCAUUUUAUUCUCCAAGGCCUGAGCAAACCGGGGCCAUUAACCUAGUUGGUGGGCUCCUUGACUGACAUUUUUCUUAACCUUUUUUUUUUUUCCCUAAUUGUAAAAAUAUACGCUGCUCUUUUACAUUAUUUGAAAGUAUAGAACCUAAAAUCUUCAGCAAUGGAUACAGUUCAUCACAUGACUUUUGCUGUUUUAACUGUUGCUCUUUUUCCAAUUGCUAAUAAUUGUUUACCACAUCCUUCUAAUUUAUGCUUCAUCAGUUUAUUCAAAUCCAGCCUUGUUUGCUUUAUCCCCUUUAGUUUGAUGCCUAUUCAGCACCUGAAUGGUGCUCAAGAGCAUUAGCAAAAUUACCCCCUAUCUCUAGCGGACCAUCCUUGAUGCUUUCUCGCUAAGGAGAUCUUCAAUCAGCACUUAUUUUUUUGCUUCAAAGAUAUGUUCAAACAGAGCUGCUAUUGUAUUUCUCAAUAUGGGCUAAUAUUUUGCCUAAACCUGUUUCCUGCCAUUAUUUCUUCAGGUUGUCUUACAACAUGGCAUCUGUUGACUGUGGUGGAGCAAUAUUUUACUCAAUGAUGAAGUUGGCAGUCGAAUCUCCACAUAAUUCUGCGAGUAUGUGUGCUGCUUUUUAUUAUGUUCCCUUUUCAUGAUUAUUCUGGUAGUUAUAUAUUCACACUGCACUGAUAUGAAGAAACCUUUUUGUUGUUUUACCAUACAUCUCUAAAUGAUUGAAUUUAAUAAAUAUUCACAGAUGCAUAGCUUUCACAUAAGUGGGCAGUGAGUUUUUGCAUCAAGUAAAUUCUGAUAAACUCUUCAAUCUAUUGAAGCCCCAAACUUAUAGUAUUUUCCAAAUUAUUAGAGCACCAUUAGCUAAUUCCAUCUUGCUAUUCUAUGUUGAAUCUCAGUGAUUGGUAUUCUUAAUCUUUGAAUUAUGUAGUUCAAAGGUUACACAUUGACUCUAAGGUUCAUACAUAAUUGUCUUAUGUCAUUCAUGAUUUGUUCAAAACAAAGAUGGCACUUUAAUCUUCUCAGAAGUUGUGUCCAAUCUUUAUUGACCUUAAGUGCUGUGCUGUUUAUUGAGGAUUUUUAUUGGUCUGCUAGAGUGGCAACACUUGCAGACUGGAGUGUAAGUCUUUCAGGAAUAAACGUAAGAAAAUUAUUCUGAAAAUGUUGAAGUUGUCUCCCAUAUGUUAGUGCAAUUGUUAGCCAAUAAGUGCUGAUUCAAGCAGCAAUGGACAGGAUUGGAUGUUAGAUGAUUCUCCUAAUUCUUAUUUAUUUUACUUAUGUGGUCUUUCCUCUGUUACUGUUGAAUAAUGAAUGGUCCAAACAUUUAAGCAUGUAUCUGCAUAAACAUUUGUGCUUCCGAAUUGAUAACGUUACAAGCAUACCUCUUUGCUGCUAUUAAUCCUCUUAUGCUCAUUCCCACUGAAAAUGGAAAAGUGAAAAUACAUAUAGAUAACUUCAUCUUUUAUUGUCAAAAAUCAGUCUCCAUGAUUAACUUGUUUGUAAUCACUAACUAGUUUGUUUUCAAUCUGUUGUGAAGGUGAAUUGCAUAGAAAUGCUGCUGAUAUAGUCACAACAUGGCAAAAACUGUUGAAGUCUUUCCUGCAUGAUAUAGAUGAGGAGGUUUGUAUUGUUGAUCUGGUGGAAAAUUCCAUCUGAUUAAUAAAUAUCAAUUGUAAGCCAAAGGAAUAAUACAUUUUUUGGACUGCUACAUUUAAUUUCUUCUAUGUAUCACAUCAUCAGAUGGGUGGGGUGACUUGUCUGUUUUUAUUACAUGUCAAAACUGACAUCUCAUAGUGGACUUUUUUUGUCUAUAUUACAAAUUUGCGCUAACCUUUCUCUUGUUAUUGCCUAACAGAUUGAGGUUAUCUUGAAAUUUGAGGAAAUGUGCCUGGAAUCGGCCAAGGAGUUUGCUGCAUUAUUUCCACAGGUAUUUCUAAUGAUAUGCCUAGAUCUAGAAGAUGUCUUGAUGGGUUCAAGAUAAAAACUUGGUGGGGGCAAUUGUCCGUUGUUUGUGUAUAAAGUAGAAUGAGAUGUGAAGUUUUAGUGAAAAGAAAGAUCCUCAUUUGAUUGUUGUUUCACAGAUUUUGCAUCUUUUAUAUGAUAAAGAAAUUCUACAAGAAGAUGCUAUUCUAAGGUGGGCGGAUGAGAAGGAAGGAGCAGAUGAAUCGGAUAAAGUGUUUCUGAAGCGUUCAGAAAAAUUUAUACAGGUAAAAAAGGAACUUUAAUCUUUUCUAUUUCCCACUCGGUGAAAUGAAGAUUGUUAAUAUUUACUCAUCUUUCCCCUUUUAAAGUGGUUGAGAGAGGCUGAAGAAGAAGAGGAUGAGUGAGACUACUUGUGUUUUGGCACGUAUGAACAUCACUGCUGAGGAAAAUAUGGUCUGCCUUUGUUUGCAAUUUUUGCUUUUCAUGUGGCUAAUAAAGUCUUGACAUUAGAAAUGUUGUAUUGAAUUGAAACGUUUUGACAGUAGUCCAUAUAUUCAGAUUUACUUAUUGCUUUCUUUUUUCCUUUUAGAGUAAAUAGAAUUUCAGUAGACAACAAGGAUUAAUCUUAAUUUAUUUUUAAUUUUUUUAAGUAAUAUUGUCAAAAAUGAAUUUAUAUUAUCUCAAAAAUAUUUUUAUAAUAUAUUUACGUUUCAUAAACAUGUCAAAACAUUAUAUUGUGAUACCGUAAGUAUGUUAUAAAAUUUUUUAAAUUUCAUAUCAAUAAUGUGUAAAUUUUUAAAACAAUAUUUCAAGGAAAAGGUUUUUUUUUUUAUUAUUAUUAUAGAUUGUUGAAAAAUUAUAUUUUUUGCAUUAUGUUACUAAUCGGAUUCCGUUUUUUAAUUUUAAAAUUAAAUAUUUAGAAAUUUUAAAUAAAUAGAAGUACGCAAUACUCCUAUCUUGUUUUACAGUUGUCAUUUUUAACCUCUUAAGUUAAUUUAAUUGAAAAUUUUAAAAUACAAUUAUUAUGUUUGAAGUUUAACAUAUUUUCAAAAAUAUCAUAAUUAAUUUUAAACAUGUUAUAUAAACAGUUUUAAUAAACUUUAAAAUAAAUUUUUUAAACAUUUUUCCGGAAAUAAAUACAUAUACAUAUAUUUAUAUUUAUAAAAGUAUUAUCAAAUUUGAAUUGUAGUUUUUUUAUUCUUUAGGUCGAGGUAUAUAUAUAUAUACUAAACAUGUUUUAUAAUCUUAAAAUUAUAAACAGUUCGAAGUAAUUUUAUAUAAUGUUUAAAUAGGUUUUAAACAAAUUUAAUUUUUGCAAGAUCUUUAAAUUAGUAGUUCUUAAUUUUGAUAGUAGCCGUAUAAGUUUUUUUAAACAUAUUUUAAAUUAACUAUUUUAUCUUUUUGGUAUGAUUUAAAUAAACUAUUUUAUUUCUUAUUGAAAACAAAACUAAUUUUAAUUAUUUUAUUUAAGAACUUAAAUAUGUGUUUUUUUAUCAUAUUAUAAUUAGUUUAAAAAAUGUCUAAAACAAUAUUUAUAAAUUAUUUUAAAUAUGAUAUUUUUAUCAUAUAAAAUUUAACAUUUUAAAAACUUGUUUUGUAAUUCUAAUCUUAAGCGAAUUUUGAAAUCAAUUUUAAAUUUUAAUCUUAACUGUUAUAAAAUUUUAAAUAAAUUUGAAUAAAAUAUUUUAUUCCUAAUUUAAAUAAGAGUUGUAAUGUUUAAUGUAUUAAAUUAUGAGUUUUAAUUUUUUUAGUUAAAAACAUAUAUAAUUUAAAAUGUAUUAGUUUAAGGGAUAUUUAUCUCUCUACUUCACUAAAAUUGUCAAUAUGAUAUCUGUUCUUUCAAUUUAUUCCUUUUGCUACCUGUACCAUUUUUCUGUUUAUCACUUUGCUACUCCACAAUCUCUGACAAAAUUUGGCUCCUGCACCAACCAUGGUCCGGAAAAGAAAAUUCAAGUCAAAGCUAAGGACUUAAAAACAAUUAUACCAAUUACUAUUCUAAAGUGAAAAAAAACACAAAUAUUUGUUGGUCUCUUCUUUCUAAAACAAAGCCCUAGCCGCCUCCUUCCACUGUCGGCACCAUUACUCACCGGCGUCUUCUCCGAUCAAGAAGCGUUCAUGAGCCCAACACCGAAUUUCGAUCUUCUUCAAGUCUAGCUCUUCGAUUUCCCCUUGCAAAGACCAUAUAGUUCUCCAAAUUUCAUAAAAUUUUCUUCUAAUUUUGUUCUUUCUUGCAUAUUUGAAUGUUACCAUCAUAAAGUUCUUUCUGGCUUUAGUUUACAAGGUUUGAGAUAAGUUUUUUUGUUUUCAUGUUUAGGGUUGUUUCUUUACAUAUAAAAUAACAUUUUUAUUAUUUUGCAGUGUUUAUUUGGUAGAAAAUGAAUUAGCAAAGGAAAUUAUUCUCAAAACAAUCCAUUUUCUAAAAUUUUCAGAUUUUAUAAUUUAGUCCUUACAACUAAAAUUGUCAAAAUUUCCAAAAAUUCUAUUUUUCAAAAUUGUUAAUUCUCAAAUAAUGUAAAUUAAUCCUAAAAAUCAAGUUUUGAAAUCUUUACAAUUUAACCCCUAUAGUUUCAAGCUUUACUAUUCUAUGCUCAACUUUCUAAAUUUUCAUAUUUCAUAAUCAUAUAAUUUAGUUACUACAUCAAUGUUUCAGAUUUCACUACUCAAAUCCUUAGAAUUUGAAAUUUCACAAAUUUUAUAAUUUGGUCAUUACUUCAACUUUUAUCAAAUUAAAUCAUUUUUCAACUUAUCCAAAUAAUAUUCAAAAUAAAUAUUUACCACUUUCAACUUAAUUAGGCAUAAACAUAAAUCUAUAGAUAUAAAUUUAUAUUCCCUAAUGUACUAAAUUAACAAUUAAACUUAAUUAAAUAAAUUAAGAUUAAUUAAAACUAAAAUAUGAUUAAUUAAAAUAUAAAUAAGGUUUAUGAAAUAAAUUCAACUAAACAAUGAAAAGAUAAUAAAAUCUCGGCUUAAGGGCGCAAAAUGCCCUCAAACUUUAAAAAAAAUAAAUUAAGGCCCUGUUUUUUUUGCGAUUAUUUGGGUACUUGGACUUUCAAAAUGCAUAAAAAGGCCCUCAAACCUUUUCAAAAAAGAAGAAGCAAAUAAGCCCCUAUUUUUAUUUUGCACUCAAUUGGGUACUUGAACUUUCAAAAUGAUCAAAAAGACCGUCAAACUUAAAAAAAGAAGAAGAAGAAGCAAUUAAGCCCCUGUUUUUAUUAAAAAAUAAAAAAAUUAUAAAAAAUAAAAUCAAUAAAAUCUAUAAAUAUUAUUAAAUUUUAAUAAAAAUUUUCAAAUAUUAAAAAUUAUAAUUUUUUUUAUUUUUUUACGAUUUUUAUAAAAAAAAUUAAUUUUUAAUAAAAGUUAAAAUUUUUAAAAUUUUUAUUAAAAUUUAUUAUUUAUUAUAAUAUUUUUUCUAAUUUUUAAUAAGAGCAAGGACUUAAUUGGCUUUUUGAAAACUUUUGAGGGUCUUUUUGAUGCAUUUUGAAAGUUUAAGUGCUCAAUUAAGUGAAAAAAAAAGAAAAAAGGAGGGAUUGUAACAACCCGUUUUUUAAUAGUGUCAGAAACAGUGAUGUAACACCCUAUACCCGUAACCCACGCCGGAGCGGAAUACGAGGCAUUACCUAACUCGAUCUCAUGCACACAAACGUUCCCCAAGUCACCAAGACUGGGUCCAAUUUAAAACUUUUUCAAUUUCUAAUUUAAACUUCUUAGUACGGGCCUACGAGCCGCAAAUCGACCAUUGAAAACUAUUCGGGAUCAACUCGGGUCCUUAAACCAUCUAUAGAAAAUUUGACUUUGAAACAGGGCACACGCCCGUGUAGAAGGGCAACACGCCCGUAUGGCCAUUUCAACAUGGUCGUAUUGAUGGCCCGUGUGGCUCACAUGGCCUAUGCAAUAUAGGAACACGGUCGUGUCCUCCACCCAUGUGGAAUUAAUUCUAAUUGCACACCUAUAGGGGUUUUCACACGGCCUGGCACACGCCUGUGUCCCUGGCUCGUGUCCUUCACACGACCAUGACAUGCCCGUGUCUUAGCCCAUGUGCAAAAACAUGGAUAUUCUGUUUCUGACGUCAACAUCCCCAAAAUGUCACAUGGCCAAGGCAUACGCUCGUGUCCUAGGCCGUGUCCCUCACACGGCUGAGAUACACGGCCGUGUGUUUACUAUCAUGCAUACUAACUUGAAAUUUUUUACGUGCAGGGGACACAUUGCCGGACCACAUGCCUAUAGGGCAGACUGUGCGUCACAUACGGCCUAGACAUACACCCGUGUGUCUACCCGUGUGGACAAUAUAAGGCUAUUUACCAAGCCUAUUUGCCACCCUUACUUACUCAACCUACAUAAUAGCAACCACAAUCAAGAUAAGACUAUCUCAUGCAGCCAAAUCAGCUACAAUAGACAACAUUCCAUUUGUGCAUUUUAUUCAUCUAUGAAAAUAACAUCUUUGCAUAUAAAUCAAAAUUAAUAUUUUCCAUCAUUCAAGGCUUAAUACAAAAUAAAGGUUUCCAAUCCAAGCCAACACACUUGGCUAGUUCUCAAUGACACAAAAAUAGUAAAGUCUAAGCCCUAUACAUGCCAUAUUCAAAAAUAUAAAUCAAACUAUAUCGAAUGCUUCGAUUGAUAGUGUGAUUGAUAUCUCUGACUUCCUUUGGUCCUUGAGCUAGAUAGGCGACACUAUAAGAAAAUAAAAAAGGAUAGGGAGUAAGCAUAAAGCUUAAUAAGUUGCACAUAAAUGAUUACACAACAUAACUUUACCAUUCAUCAACAAACUCAUAACAUACAAUUGGGUAUAAGCAAAACUUGCUCAUCAAUAUUCGCUACACAUCAUAUAUCAUAAAAUGGGCUCAUAUUCUAUAUAUACCAAACAGGUACCUAUACCAUUCACAACACAGUUAUACUUUCCUCGUUAACUUGAAAUCAUAAUUUUCACCGUUGAACCAUUUGGAACACUAUCAGAUAUUCAUUAAGCCUCAAACAUGGGGCAAGGUGCCGAUGCCAUGUCCCAGACAUGGUCUUACAUAAGUUCUAGCAUAUCUGUGCCGAUGCCAUGUCCCAGACAUGGUCUUACACUGACACACCUUGUAACCGAUGCAUGUCUCAGACAUGUUUUACAUUGGCUUACGUCUCGAGGCCGAUGCAUGUCUCAGACAUGUUUUACAUUGGCUUACGUCUCGAGGCCGAUGCAUGUCCCAAACAUGUCUUACACUAGCACUCGUCUCAAUGCCGAUGCCAUGUCCCAAACAUGGUUUUACACUGGCUCUCAUAAUGCGGCCGAUGCAUGUCCCAGACAUGUCUUACACUAGCUCACAAUAACCCAUAUGUUAUGGCAUGAAUAUCCAAUUUAUUUCCUAGGUUCCAACGGGAACUCUACUAUCUCUAUUACCAUAAUAUUUUCUCAAUUCCACAAUCAAGCAAUUCAUGCUAUAUUAAAUUCAAGUACAAUUCAACACAUACAUAAAUAUUGUAGUUGUAUUAUUUACAUACAAUUUACCUCGGAUUACAAAAUGUGGCGACUAGUCAAUUUAAUCGAUUUGCUUGGCUUUCUCCCGAUCUAGGUUCGGAUUCAGUAUUACUUGAUCUAUAAUAGUAAAAUGUACUUAUUUAGUCACUAAUUAAAAUUAAGCAAUCAAAAAUCCAUAUCUUUGGUAAAAUAACCAUUUUGCCCCUAGACCCGAAAAUAUAUUUUUAUCGAAUUUCUUCAUAUCUUAAGCCUAGCCGAACCCUUUUUACUCUUAUAGCAACUUCAAAUUCCCACUAUUUCACAUACUUAACAUCUAUUUUACAACUUAUGCAAUAUAGUCCUUUUAGGUGUUUUCAUGCUAACAUCUUUCACAAAAGUUGUUCAUAACACACCCAAGACUUAUUUUCUUCCAUAAAAACUCAGCAAACAUUACAAGCCCUUUCAUGGCAAAACCCUACACUCUUGAUCAUUUUUCAAAAUAGUACCCUCAUUUAAAAGCUCAUGCUUCAAGGGUCUCAAAAGUACAAAAAUAUUCAAGAAAAGCCAUAAAAAUUACUUACUUGUGAAAACUUAAAGUUGUUGAAACUUCAAGCUCUUAAAACCCCGUUUCUUUGCUGAAAAUUUUGAUCAAAAGAAAGGAUGGAGAAAAAAAUGAUAGCUAGGCUUUUUGGCAUUAUUAUAUCAUAUAUUAUGUCAUCAAAUUACCUAAUGUUGACUUUUCAACAUUUUUAUCUCCUAUGGUCGGCCAAGCUAUCACAAUAGGGUCCAAUUGCCCUUUAAAGACCCCCAAUUUUUAUUCUUUAGCUAUUUGACACUUUUAGCUAUCAAUUUAGGACUUUUGCAUUUUAUGCGAUUUAGUCCUUUUUCCCAAUUGAGCUCACAAAUGUCAAAAUUAACUCACCAAAUUUUUCAUACACUAAGAUAAACAUGCAAUGACUCCAAAAUAGUAAUAAAAUAAUUUAUUUGACUCCAAAUUUGUGGUCCCGAGACCACUGUUCUGACUAGGCCCUAAAUCAGGCUGUUACAAGUAGUUUCUGUAACACCCCUCGCCCAUAUCCGACGCCGGAACAUGGUUCGAGGUGUUACCUGACUUAACUCAAUCAAUUAUGCAAAACCGGGCCGUAAAAUUUUGAUGAUUUGGUUAAAACUUUUACUUUCAUAAGCAAUUUGUUCCUUAAAUGGGCUUACGAGGCCCAAAACAUACAUUCGAGAUGAUUUAAACUUAACUGGGAACUUAAGAAAAACUUGGUAAAAUUCAAGUUUUAGGGUUCCCCACGCCCAUGUGACUCGGGACAUGCCUACGUCCUCAGCCCGUGUGCGACACUGACUUUAGGGCACGGCUAUGACACACGUCCGUGUGGCCUAUCCAUGGGCAAUAUUGACUUAUAGACACGGCUAUGGCACACGCCCGUGUGGCCUAACCGUGGACAAUACUGAUUUAAAAAUUUAAGUGCAGGGGGACACACGGCCAUAACACACACCCAUGGGGGUGAGCCGUGUGUCACACACGGCCUAAACAUACGCCUGUGUGUCUUGCCCGUGUGGAAAAACUAGGAUAUCUUCCAAGUCAUUUUGUUACCCAUUUUGCACAACCUAUACAAGAUCAUUUCAAUGUGCUAAUUUCAUCCCAAAUGACAUCAAUUAAUCCAUAGAAGGCACGUCAUAUACAUUUACCAAAAUAAAUAAUAGCCAUUAUCUAGGCUUAAUACAAAAUGAAGGGCUUUUUAUCUUAAGCCAAUAUACAUAAAUAAUUUCUCAAUAAUACAACUCCCUAGUCUAGCCCUAUACAUGCCAUAAUCAAAAAUAUAAAUCCAACUAUACCGAGUAUUACGGCUAAUAGUGUGAUCGAUAUCUCUGACUACAAGGGAUCCUUGAGCAAAAUGACCGUACCGAAAGAAAAAGGAAGGGAAAGAGAGUAAGCAUAAAGCUUAGUAAGUUGCAUAUAAAUAUAUAUACAACGACAACUUCACCAUUUAUCAAUUAUGCUCAUAGCUCAAAGGUAAGUAUAAACUGGACUUACUCAUUACCAUCAACUCAAAUCAUAUUUUCUAAUCGAGCUCAUUACUCAUGCAUACCAAAUAGGUACCUGUAACACUUACAACAUUAUCAUACUUUCCUUUUUAAAUCUCUUUCUUAACUCUUAAAGUUGAACCUUUUGGAAUACUACUGGAUAUUCUAUAAGCCUCAAAUAUGGGUUAAGUUUCCGCUGUCAUGUCCCAGACAUGGUCUUACCUGGCUAUCUCCAUCGAGGCCGAUGCCAUGUCCCAGACAUGGUCUUACACUAGCUCUCGUGUAUAAGUGCUGAUGCAUGUCCCAGACAUGUCUUAUGCUAGCACGAAACUUAGUCGAUGCAUGUCCGAGACACGUCUUACACUGGCUAACAUCAUCGAGGCUGAUGCAUGUCCCAGACAUGUCUUACACUGGCACUCACCUCUACACCAAUGCCAUGUCCCAGACGUGGUCUUACACGGGCUAUCAUGAUGCGGCUGAUGCAUAUCCUAGACACGUAUUACACUAGCCCUCGUCUCAAUGCCGAUUCCAUGUCCCAGACAUGGUAUUAUACUGGCUCUCACAUAACCCAAUGUCAUGGCAUGAAUAUCCGGUUUGUUUCCUGGGGUUCUUACUGGAUCUUUCAACUUUCUCAAUCAUAAAUACAUAUACUUAGUUCCAAUUCUAAAAAUUUAUGCUAUAUCAAAUCAAUAACAAUCGAAUACAUGCAUUAAUAAUAUAUUUGUAUUAUUUACAUACAACUUACCUCGGUUUAAAAAAAGUCCAUGACUAGUUUGCUUAAUCGGAUUGCUUGGCUUUGCCCCAGUUUAGGCUCGGUUUUAGAAAAUCUUGAUCUAUAAUAACAAAAUGCACUUAUUUAGUCAUUAAACACAAUUAGGCUAUCUAAAAUUUACAUCUUUUGUAAAAUGACCAUUUUGCCCCUAGACUUUAGCAAAAUGACCAUUUUACCCCCAUGCUCAAAAUUUGAUUUUUAUCGAUUUCUUCGUAUUUCAAGCAUAGAUAAACUCUUUUUACUACUAGAGAAACCCCAAAUUCUCACUAUUUCACACACUUGUUACUUAAUUUGCAACUUAUGCACAAUAGUCCCUUUAGGUGUUUUCAUGCUAACACCCUUCAUAAAAGCUGUUUAUAACACAACUAGGAAUCAUAUUCCUCCAUAAAAACUCAGCAUAUAUAACAAAUACGUCCAUGGAAAAAUCAUAAACUCUUGACCAUUUUGUAAGAUAUCACCCUCAUUUGAAAGCUCAUGCUUCAAGGGUCUUAAAAGUGUAAAAAUCUUGAAGAAAACUAAUUAAAAUCACUUACUUAUGAGUGCUUUAAGUUGCUGCAGAUUUUUGAGCUUUCAAACCUCAAUAUUUGAUGAUAAUUUCGGUGAAGAAAGAAGAUGGAGAAGAAGGAAAUGAUAGCUAGGCUUUUAGGCAUUAUUUUAUCACCAAAUCAUGACAUCAUCUACUUAAUACUUUGACUAUUUGUUUAAAAUCCAUCACAUGGCUGACCAACACCAUUAAAAAAGGUGUAAUUUCCCUUUAAAAGAACUAAAUUUUGAUUUUCUAGCUAUUUAACACAUUUGGGUACUAAAAUGUAACUUUUGCCCUUUUUGCAAUUUAGUCCUUUUUUGCAAUCGGGCUUGAAAAUAUUAAAAUUAACUUACCAAAUUUUUCAUGCACUAAUAUAAUCGUACUAUAACCUCAUAAAAAUAAUAAAAAUAAUUUUUCUAUCUUCGGAUUUAUGGUCCCGAGACCACUGUUCCGACUAGGCCCUAAGUCGGGUUGUUACAGUUUCGGAAUCACAAAUCCGAUGAGUAAGAUCGUAUAGUUAAUAUUUAAAUUAUAUGAGUUAAUUGUAAUUUUAUAAUGAAUUUUGAUUUGAGGAAUUUUAACCAGUUGAAUUAAAAAUUAGUAUAAGUGGUUCAGUUCAAAAGUAAAGUGAUUAUUGAAAACGAGGUAUUAGGACCUCGUUUCCAUAAUUUAAAGUUGUAACUAUUUAUUUAUUAAAUAUUUAUAAAGUCAUAUUAUAGGUGAAUUAAAAUUUGGUUCGGUAAUUUUGAUGAUUGGUAGCUUAAUUAAGGUAAAAAGAUUAAAUUGUAAAAGAGGUAAAAGUUAAUUGCUAUAUAUUUAAAAUAGUAAAGGGACCAAAAUGGUAAUUAAACCAUGGUAAAAAAUCCAAGCGGUGGUGACUUGAUUAAAUCCACUUAACUUUUCAGCUAUUUGCUCAUUUAGUCCUAAUUAGCUUAGGAUUAAAUUGAAAUUAAGCUUGUUUAGUUAAAAUUUAAAAUAAUUGAAGGAUCAAUUGUGUAAUUAAAUCUCCUUGAAUGGUACAUAUACCAUAGGUUAUGAUUGUGGACGGUAAUGGGCUUGAAAUUGUUAAAUUUGAAUGAAAAUUAAACAGUAAAAAGGUAAAUGAAUAACUAAACUUUAUAAACAAAAUUAAAAUAAAAUAACCAUCUUCUUCUUUAAGCCAAAAUAAAAUCGAAAUAGCCAUUAGAGAAGAGAAAAGGAUUCAGCCAACCUAGGGCUUCUAUUUGGUUAGCUAAUCCGGUGACUAAUUUGUAAACUGUUAAAUGUUGUGGAUUAUGUCAUUGAUGAGUUUUGUAUAUUCUUGGAAUUUUAUGAUGGAUUAUUAAGUUUAAUUUUUAAAUAAGACAAUUCUGUAAAGUAGUUUUUGAUUAUUUUAACGUUUAAGGACUAAAAUGUUUAAAUGACAAAGUUACUUGUACUUGAUGUGAAAUAAUUGCAAAAAAUGGGUUGUAGAAAGGCACUUGAAUAUUCGGCUAAGCUGAAAUUUGAAUAAAAAUGGUUAAAUUGCAUGUUUUGAGUUAGGGGCUAGAUUGCAUAAAAGUAAAAUAUUGGGAGGAAUUUUGUAAAAAUAUAAAAAAGGAUUUAAUUGCAUAAAAUGAGUUAAUUUUACUGUUGGAAUUAGUUGAUAAAAUUAUAUUAUUAUUCUAGAUCAAGUAUGGUUGAAAAUCGAGGCAUAAAGAAGUUACAUAAUAGUCUCUGUACCUUAUCGUGCUGUAGUUUAGUCAGGUAAGUUUGUAAUAUUUCUUUUUUGUUACAAUGAUUCCAUAUAUAUUACAUGUUUAUUAUAAUUAGAUCUAACAUUAAACUUAACUAUUGAAUGAUUUGAUAAUAAAUAAUAAAUGAAUAUGGUGAACACGUGAUGUUUCUGAAUAUCAGGCUUCGAGCCAGUGUUAUCUAACAGGCUUUGUGCCAGUGUGUUUAUGGGCUUUUGCCUAGUAGGCUUUGCGUCGGUGUUGUCCAUCAAGCCUUGAGCCAGUGAUACAAAUCGUAGUGAUGGCUGAGAUCUUGCAUGUGUUGUGGAUUCUAUACAAUUUGUGUAAGCAACAUCGUGAGCUGGUGAUUAUUUAGCAGGUACUAUGUAUCAUUGAUACAGACUGUAACGAUUGUUUGAGAUCCUGCAUCUGUUGUGGAUUCUCUGCAGCUUGUGUGAGUAGCAUUGUGAGCCGGUCAAAAAUUUGAAAUUAACUCGAAUGAGUGAUACCCUCUGAUUACUUAAGAUUAGAUCUUAUUUAUAUGACGACUGAGAAAGUGAUGUGAAUUAAUGCACUGUGUAAUACUCACAUGUUGUGAGUUGUGUUUGACAGGAACUUCAUUAUUUAAUCUUAUAAUUUGAUCUAUUAUGUUAAUUUGGUAAGAUUUAUCGUUUAAUUUAGCGAAUUUACUAAGCUUCAAGUAAGCUUACUCGUGUCUUGUCCUUUGUUUUAUAGAUUACAUUUUGUGAUCGAAAGUUCGGAUCAACUCGUAGAAUCACACUAUCCCAAUGACUCUUUUGGUAGAUUUUGUAAACAUUUGACUUAUAUGGCAUGUAAUAGGGCAAAUUGUUAUUAUGCUAUAUUUCAUGGCUAUGUGUGAUGUUUGGUACUUGAUGAUAAAAUGUUAGUCUUUGUAGUAUGAUUGUUAAACUUUAGGUAAAUUUGAGUAGGAGGCUAUGAAACGGUAAGUGUCAUAUUAAGUUAGCAUGGUGUGUUUGAAAUGGGUUAGUUUGGUGUAUGUUAUGGCUUAUAGAUUAUUGUUUUGAUAUCGGAUAACACGAGCAUUAUAAUGUGUUUUAGUAUAUGAUACUUGGUAUGGUUUUAGGUGAUUGAAAAUUGCAUGUUUUGGUUGUUUAAAGGUGUGUUUAUAGACUUGUGAACAUGUAUUAUGAAUUGGUUUAGGUACCUAUGAAAUUGGGUGAGGAGAUAACAUGAUCUUGGUCAUUUUUUGGAUACACACGGCCUGAGACUCGGGCUAUCAUACGACCACGUGUCACACGCAGGCAGCGUACACAGGCGUGUGCCUUGAGUGUGUUAGGUACAAGAUUCACACAAGCUAGCACAUGGGCUGAGACAUGGGCGUGUGAGCCAUGUCAGUAAGUUACACGAGUGAGCAUACGGUUGGAUACAUGGAUGUGUGGGGUAGCCACACGGGCGUGUGGUAUAGCAGCACAACCAUGUUUGGAGCCACACAAUCUGGGUUCUAUCACAUGGCUUGAACACACCAAACAUCUCAACUCUUUCACCGUUACGAAAUUUUUAUCCCUUCAAAUUAUAUGCUCUAUGCAAAUUGCUACUCAAACGAAUGGCAAGUAAGAUAUACAUAUGGUAGCCCAUGAUUUGUCCAUGUGUCAAUUUUUAUUAGGAAUUAACACUGUUAGGUCAAAGUACUAAAGUGAUAAUCGAAAAAAAUACGAGUACCAAAGCGAAGAAAUUGAAAGUACAAGUAUCAUGUUGACAAUUUUAUUAAAGUACAGGAGUAAAUCAUACUAUUAUCCCAUAAUUUAAUAUAUAAAUUGUUGAUGUGUCAAGCAAAACACUGCUCACUUUUCAUCAUUUUAAAUAUACAACCAAGGUUAUUUCUAAAGAACUUGUAACAUAUAAUACUAGUUUUUAUCCUAUGAGAUGUUGAUAGUUUAUUCUAUAAAAGUAUUAUUAUUUAAACAAUGAUAUAUUAAUUAAAAUUAUUUGUGAAACAAUAUUAGAAUUACUUAUUAAUAAAAGUAUAUUAAAUUACUUUCUAUUUUUAUAGAAUUAUGUAAACAAUAUGUUCAAAAAGUAAUAAUAAAGAGUAAAUAUUAUUUUCUGUCUUGUACUUUUAUUUAAAAUGUUUAUUAGAAAUUUUAGAAUAUAAAUCCUAAUAUUGAUAGAAUUGUGAAAUUAUUAUUUUUUAAAAUAUUAACAAAUUUUUUUAAAUGUUAAUAUAUAUAUAUAAACACAAACUUUAAUAAACUUUUUUUUUAAAAAAAUCUAACUAAAUUAUAAGAAUAUAAAAAAGAAAAACUAUAAAAAAAUAUUCAAAAUCCGAGUGGAUUUAAAAUAAUUUUUUAGUAUAACUUGAAAUUGAAAUUAAUUAAUUAGUUAAUUAAGUGGGUUUAAUAUUGUAAAAGUUUUUUUAAUAAGGUGAGUAUUUUUUUAUUUAAUAAGCUGUUUUAAAACAUUAACAUGCGUUUUUUUAAAUAUUUAAUAUACCCCUAUAGGACAUUUGUCAACCUUUACUCCAUCUUGUGGAGUUUAAAAACUCCAUUGUCAGUGUAACAAAUAAUUUUUGUUAUAAAAUAAAAAGACAGAAAGUAAAGAACAAAGAGAAUGAGAGAACAAAUAGAGCGUAUUUUAUUGAUCAAUCUGGAUAUCUACAAAUCUUCUCCAAAGUCUAUUAUAAAUGAAGUAGAGAUCUACUUUUAAUGACAAUUAGAAUUUAAAUUACAUCAAAACUUAUAUUAAUCUUGAUGGACAUUCACUUAAUAAGAUAUUCAUAAUACUCAUUUUGGAUGUCCAUUUGUAGAUAAUGUGUCUCGUUAAAACCUUACUAAGAUAAAAACCUCGUGAGAAAAAAAUUCCUAGUUAAGGGAAAAAAAGUACACAUAUCCAUAAUAUGCAUAAUAUGUUGCCUCAUUAAAAACCUUACCAGGAAAAUCCAAUGGAAUAAAACCCCAGUUAAAGGAAAAUGAGUACAAUGCAUAUUUACUCCCCCUCAUGAAAACAUCACAUAAUAUCUCACAUUCUACGCAUUCAAUCUUGAAUACUAGCUUUUUAAAUGAGCAUUUAUAUUACCAUUCUUUUGAAAGUCAUGAGUGAAGGAAAAUUUUGGAGAAUUAUAUUUUGAUCUCUUCAGGAGUUUCAAUAAUAAUCAUAAUAAACUUUAAUCAUGAUUCUUCUAUAAAAACACAAAUAAAUAUUUUGGAUCAUUUUAUGAUCCCUUUCAACUACUAUUCACUAAGUCAAAUUUACCACAUAUGUUUAAAUUAUUUCAAUUCAUAUAAAUGAACAAUUUCCCAAGAAUUUCAAUAUGCUUCUAGCAUUCUAAAUCCUUCAAGAAUUUUAAUAUAAACUUUACCAUAUAGUGAUUCAUAAAAGGUUGUAACAACAAUCAUUAGGCGUAAGUUAAAACUUUUAUGAACUAUCAAUUCAAUAAUAUAUCUAAACAUUAUUGUAUCCACCAAAAAAUAAUAUUAUAUCUUUUAAUAAUCAAUGUUAGGAGUUAGCGAAAAACUUCAUUUAUUUUGCUUUUGCAAAACUAUUUCAUUUGCACCCUCAUUGGCUUUAUACCUUUAGAUAUUUGUACUAUUGGUCCAAAAACUCCACGGAUUUAAUUUUACUUAAGUUGUAUUUCUAUUUUGACCAAUUUAUUUCAUAUCUAUAUUUCUCAAUAGAUUUAUUCAAGAUCCUCCUUAUAUUUCAUUAUUUCAACAAUAAUAUUCCAUGCAAAACCAUUGUCGAUUAAUUUUAUUAUCGGUUCCACAUUUUCUCAAUUGACAUAACUUAUCGAGAUAUUUUAUUUUCACUAUUUUAAUCUUCAAUUUCAGAUAUCUGAAUUUCUUCUGGAGUUUUAGUUAUUAGUUAUGUCUUGGGUCUCUUCUAGAGUACCCACCUCCACUAUAUGACCACCUAGAAGAAUUUUCAUCUUUGAAACCGAUCAAUCUAUUAUUUAUUCUAACUGAUUGUAGGACUUUGAUUCAAAAUAUUAGAUGGUAUAUACAUCUAAUAGGUAACUUGUAAUAAUGUGAGUUAUCCUUUUUUGAACUUCUGGUUCAAAUUACUCUCUAUAAGAAUCUAAAUAAUGAUAACUCAUUACAAGUAGUGAUUUCAUUCAACUAUUAUUUCUCUCCCCUAAUAUCGGGAAAACUAUCAAAUCAAAAUAGUAAUCACACAUCAUGUCAUAAUUGAAUCUCCAAAACAUUCAAAACAUCUAAUAAUAUAAGGAGACUUGUAAUUAAUAUAUAUUUCCAACUUUCUUUGAGGAUUCACUCAUCUUUGUGCAUUGUGGUGGAGCAAUUUCAACAUAUACUCACAUAAAAAAAAUAAAGAUGAGAAAUAUUUAGCUCUUGACUAAAAACCAAUUGUAAUGGAGAGUAUUUAUAACUUAUUGGCUUGAUGCGUACAACACGUAAAUCAACAUAAUCUCAUGUUAAAAUAGGAAAUUUAGUUUUCAUUAGUAAUGGUUUAGAUAUUAAUCAGAUGUGUUCAAUUAAUAAUUUCUCUAAACUAUUAUGUGCAUAAAUAAUAAGCUUUUACGAAAGUUUUUCAAACUCAAUCAAUAAAAGUUUGAGAUAUAAACUCAUCAACUUUAGCAAUAUGAAUUGUCUUAAUUACAUAAUCUGAAAUUAAUUAUUUAAAUAAGCAAUCUUGCAAACGACAGGUUGUAAGUUGAUAACACAUAUGUAAUUAUUUUGUAAAUACAUCUAUCAAAAUCAUAUAAUAUCAAAAUUAUCCAUAUGGUGGAUGAAUGAGCUCAUAUUCAUUUUAGAAAUACAAGAUAUUAAAUCUCAACUUCGGUUAGUGAGUUUUUAAUAAUCAAUUUUCAUUGAGAACAAGAAGAAUCUUCUGGUUCUUUAAUGAAUGUCCGUAUGAAUUAUCAAUUAAUUUUCGCAUCAUAUAUGAUUCAAGAUGGUCUAUGUAAUACCCCGAAAAUUUUUACAGUAAAAUAUUAUCCGUGAUAUAGUAAAAUAAGGAAAUAAAGUGACAAAAAGGGAAUUUUUGAGUUAUGUCAAUAUUGGGAAUUAUAUUAUGAUAUAUUAAUUCAAGAAAGGACUAAAUUGCAAAGAUGAGAAAAGUCUUGUUGCACAAGAGUAAAUACUCAAAAUUUAAGGGGUUGAAGUGUAAAUAUAAAAAAGUUGAAGGACUAAUGGUGCAAAUAUUUUAAGGGUGGAAUGAUCUAGAAACCAAGAAAAAUUGAUGAAUUAGGACCAAAUUGAAUAGGUGAAAACUUAUGAGGGACUAAAUCGCAAUUUUACCAAAUUAAGUGAUGACUCAAGGAUGGAAUUCUAAAAGAUCAUGAAGGGAAAAAUGGUCAAUUAGUAAGAGAGAGAAUUCUAAAAUGUAAUGAUUAUGUUGAUGAUAUUUUAAAUUAAUUAAUUAGAUAAAUAUUAUUUUAUUAAUAUUUUUAUGAGAUGUUUAUUAUUAUUAUAUUAUUAUUUAUUUAGCAUAAAAGGAAGGAAAGAUGAAGAAUUAACAUCACAUUUCCUUUCCCAUGCAACCAACGUUAGAAGAGAAGGAAAAGAAAGGAAUUUUGUUUUCUUUACAAUUUGGUCAUUCUACCAAAAAUUCACCAUUUUCACCUAGAAAUCAAAAGAAUUUCCAUAGCUACUAAGAGAGAAAAAUGUUAAGGAGACCAUGGGGAGUUAGAAUAUCAAGCUGGAUUCAAGAAAUAGAAGCUGGAGGAGAGAGAAAAUCAAGUUAAAGAUUAGUAUCAAUAGAACAAGGUAAGUAUAUCAAGAUUUCAAUAUGUUUUUAAGUUUGUUAUUAUUGACAAAGCAUGGAAAUAAUGUUAUAGUAGAGUUUUCUUACAUAAGGUCCUAUGUUCUUGAUAUGUUAGUGAAGAGAAAAUAAGAGAAAGUGAUGAGAAAUGGUGUAGAAAAAGAAAAUAAGAGUGUUAUAACAUGUCAAUUAAUAUCUUGUACUAAAACAGUUUUAGACAGCAGUUGUAGUCUAACAUUGAAAAAUCAUCAAAAAAUUGUAGAAAUAUAAUUAUAGGAUGAAUAAAAUAUUAAAUUAAAUCUUAUUAAGUCUAGUUUCUUAUAGAAGAAAUGAUGUAAGCAAUGGAACUGUAAAUCAUGAGAUAUGAUGAAUUUUGUGAGACAAGGUCAGAAUGAUUUUGGGUUCCCCUAUUUUGACUUUAUAAAAUAAUAAAAAAUUGGAUAGAAAUAAUUAUGGGAUUAAAUUUAUAUUUUUAGAAUCCUGAAUGAGUCUAUUUUCAAUAGAAAAAAACGGGAACAUCAUUUGAAUUCUGUACGAGGAGAUAAUUAAUUUUUAGUGAAGAAGGGCCAGAACUGUUAGACAGCAGAACAAGGGUAACUUUAAAGAAUAAAAUGUACUUAUUGGCUAAACCAAAAAUUCUGAAAAUUUUUUGGUAAGAAUAUAUAGAAGUCUAGUUUCAGUAAAAAUUAUCGGAUCUUAAUUUUGAGUUAUAUAACUCCAGAUAUAAAUAAUUUAGUGACUAUGAUGCAGAUAAACAGCUUGAAUAUUCAUAAAAGUAAAUAAUAAAAAUUAUGGAUAAUGUUACUUACAAGUGUGUUAUAUCUACAGUAAGGAUGUGGAAUGGAGAGGAGGAGGAGGAAAAAUAUGUAUGAAUAUUCAUCUAGCAUGGCUAAUUUGUAUAUUUUAGGCUCAGAGACAAAAUUGAAUAAAAGUAAAACUUUAUGGGCAAUUUUGUAAAAAUAUCAAAAAUGACCAAAUUGCAUGAAAUGGAUUAUUUUAUUAUUUAAAUUACAAAAUUGAAUGAAAUUAUUAAUUUAGUUCAAGAUUGGGGGAAAACAUGUUUUAGGGAUUAAAUUGAAAAGUGUUGAAAUUAUAGAAAAUUCUGAUAUUUUAUAGAAUUCAUGAACUGUUAUCAAUACAUAUGAGAAUAAUAGCUAGAAAUAAGGAUUAAAUUGCCAGAAUUUUAUUUUCCCUGACCCUAAGGAUGAAAUCGUCAUUAAUUAAAAGUUUAGGGGCAAAAUGGUAAUUUUUCCUAGAGCAUUAAUUAAAUGCAUUAGAAUAUGAAAUAAAUGAAAAUGAUGAUCAAAUUUAUUUAUAAAGAUCCAGACGACUCAAAUAUGAGACUUGAUUGUAGAAAAGAAAAGAUAUCGGAUUAAUGAAAUUAUAAACACAAACAAGCAAUGAGGUAAGUUCGUGUAACUUGAAUUAUAUUCUUAAAUGCUUGAAAUGUAUGUUAUUGAUGUGAAAAUAAUUUGAAUGUUCAUUGUAUGAAAAUUGAUGGAACAUUGAUAUAUUUGAUAAAAAGGGGAAGAAAUCCCGGUUGAAUAAAAGGAAAUUUCGAUGGAUCUCUGAAAAGGAAUUGACAGUAAAAAGGAUCUAGCCCAGACGGGUGACCCUAUCCUGAUAUAGCCCUCCCGAAGAAUACGUGUAAAUGGAUUUAGCCCGGACGGGUAAUCCAAAUUAGGGUCUAAAUUUAGCCUGGACUGGUAAUUCAGAUCCAAGCUCAUUAGACUAUUUUGUCGUUGCAGGGGAUUUAGCCUGGACUGGUAAUCCCGACAAUACUCUAUGAGUUUAUAUUACAGGGGAUUUAGCCUGGACUGGUAAUCCCACUGUAAGGAUGAGGUUCGCAGGAGUGUGCUCUCUGAUAUGAAAUGCGUAAGACUAUGGUUGAAAGAUACCAUGGCAACCUGAUAUGAAAUGUGUAAGACCAUGGUUGAAAGAUACCAUGGCAACAUGACGGGAAAUGAAUAAGACCAUGGUUGAAAGAUACCAUGGCAGCGUGACAUGAAAUGUGUAAGACCAUGGUUGAAAAAUACCAUGGCAACAUGACAGAAAAUGAGUAAGACCAUAGUUGAAAGACACUAUGGCAUCAUGUCAAAGAUAAAUAAGACCGUGGAUGGGAGAUGCGAUGACAUCUAUUGAACAAUUGAUAUUCAGGUAAUAUGUAUCAGAUGACGAAUGGUUAUAUGAAAUAGUUGUGUGAAAUGUUUACAAGAACUGGUCAUAUGGAAAUAUAUGUACAAAAUAGUUGUAUGAAAUAAUUAUGAAGAUAGAUAAAAAAAAUAAGAAUAAGAACAUGGAAUAUAAUUUAUGUUAAGUUUGAUAUAAACUUUACCUGAAUAAAUAUAUAUAAAAUAUAUGGAAAUGAUGGUGCAUGAAAUAUUGAUAUAAUGAAAUGAUUGAUAUAUACUUAUGAAGAAACGGUAAGAGAAUGAUAUGUUUCAUGACAUGUACAUAUAUGAUUAUCUUUGAUAUGUUAAUACAAGGAAAUUAUGUAAGUAAAGACAAUUAUUAAACUCAAGUGUAACAUGUCGAGAAAAUAAGUAUAUAAAUGUUGAAUUUAUAUGAAAUAUAUGCAAGUAUACUAACAAUGAUGUUGUUUGACGCUUAGACAAGUGUCAAGCUAUUAAUUGAAUGGUAACAUGUUUAAUUAUAAGAAGUAUUGAAAUGGUAAGUACUUAGAUGGAAAUAAAAUUUAAGAUUUUGUGAAAUUUUUUUUAUGAUCCCGAUUUAAUUCUGGUUGGUUUUUAAUAUAUGUUUGGGGCUUCGAGGGCCUAAUAGAGAGACGUUAUGAUUAUUUUCAAAAUAUGAAUAAUAAAUGACUCAGAAUUAUCUGAAAGUAUUCAGUAAACUCCAGUAAUGCCUCGUACCUUUUCCGGCAAUGGAUACGGGUAGGGGGUGUUACAGUCUAACUGGUCACGGCAAGUAGUUAAUGCAUUUUAUCAGUAAACAUCUGAUUUACUUUAACAUGCAUUUCAAUUGUACUAAUAAUGUCAAUAUAAAUUGUGACAAAUUGAUAAUUUUACUGCCAUUCAUUUUACUUUGUAUCCACAUAUAAGUACUAUUGUAACAUUUACUACUGAAAAUGUUUAAAUUAAUGUGAAGUUUAUAAUGCCACUAAGUCAACAAAAUAAAUAUAAUUUCCAAACAAUUAUAUGCAGUAUUCGCUUCAAGGAAUAUGCCAAAAUCUUCAAAUAUCCAUUAUAAUGUAUAUUUUUAAAACUAAUGUAUUAACCAUAUCUUUUAUUUCUUUAUGUUUGCAUUCACUUCGGGGAAUACAACAAAUCUAGUAAGACAAACUUCUAAAUGCCUCCAUUGAUUCUUUAUUUCAUAAUCACCAUCCGAACAUGCAUGGAUUUCAAAUAAGAAUCUAUCUAUUCAUGUGGUCAUGAUUAGUCUCCAAUUAUAAUAAACAGGAUAUAAUAAAUAAAUCAUAGUAAAAUAUAUUUAAAGAUCUUUAACAUCAUUGUCAUCACCCAUAUAAGGAUUAUAUAAAUUUCUUUGGAUAAUGAUUACCUAUAGUGCGCAAGCCUCAAUUCAACAAAUUUGGAGUGACCAUAUUAUAAAAUAAAAGAGAACCGUGCUGAUAACGUGUUAUAAAACAAAAAAAGAGAGAAAGUAAAGAACAAAAAGAAUGAGAGAACAAAGAGAAAGCGUAUUUUAUUGAUUUUACAAAGCUUAUCCAAAGUCUCUAUUUAUAGUCAUAAGAAGUAUAAAUGAAGUAGAGAUUUACUUCAAAUAACUAUUAGAAUUUAAAUUACAUCAGAACUUAUCUUGAUCUUGAUGGACAUUCAUUUAGUAAAAUAUUCAUAACAUUUUUCUUUUUAAUAUGGAUUAGUAUUUGGUACAUUGACAGUACACUUUUUUUUCCACAAGUAGUCCUAAAAAAAUGUUAUGUCUCUUUUUUUUUAAAAAAUAUUUAUUUUUUAAUAUUAUACUACAUCUCUAUAAGACACUUGUCAAUUUUCUAACCAUGCUUAUGGAGUUUUUAACUCCACUGGCAAUAUACCAAAUAUUAUUCCUUUUAAUUAUAUUAUUUAAAUAUUUAAAUAGUAUUUUAACAAAUUUUUUUACAAUGUAUAUAAAAAAAAUGAUUGGUAAGUCGGCUUUAAAUUUUUAACAAUACUUAAAAUACUUUAUUUCUAUUUUUAAAAACCGUUAAAUUAUCUAUUAACAUUUAUGAAGAAAAUUAAAUAUUUUUUAAAUAAUUUUAAAUUUCAUAUAUAUUUUUUUCUUUUUAAACAAAUAUUAAUUAUGUUUGUUAUUAGUUUUUAAUAGUAUUGUUGAGAAAUAUUUUUAAAUUAUAUUUAAAUAAACUUUUUGUUACUCGUGUAAGAAUACUGAAAUGCCAAAUGGCAAAAAAAUAUAACGUUAGUACAAAUUUUUUUAGGAACUUGUAAUAUAAUAUAUAUUAUUAGAGAUUUAAUCUCUAUUCUUCAAUUUCUAAUAUAAUUUGGUCUUCAUAUUUUUAUAAUAUUUGUAAUUAAUUCAAAUAAUUAGUAUUGUUGAUAUGUUAUUAAUUAGUCUAAGUAAUCAAUAUUGUUAAUUUUUCGAUUAAAAUAUUACGUGGUUAUAUAUAAUUUGAAUACCUUAAAAGUUUGUAGAGAUAAACAAGUUUGUGUCGCUUAUUUGACAUUAAGACAAUGUUUAAAUUUUAAUUUUGGCCUUAAACUAUGUUGAAACUAUCUAUAUAUUUUAAUUCUUAACAUAAUUCAAUCCCUCUACUUUUACAAUAUCAUUAGUCAGUGUAAAUAGUUAAUAUUAUUAACUAUUCCAAUCAAAAUAUUGUUGUCCAAUUUUCUCAAAAACACUUUUUUAAGUAAGGGUGAGUAAAAUUCGAUCUGAUUCGAAAAAAAAAAUCAAAUUUUGAGUUAACUGAUUCGAGUUAUUUGAGUUAACUCAAAUAAGUAAUUCGAUUUUCGAGUUAGAAUCGAGUUGAAUUUUUCAAUUUGAAUAACUCAAAUAAUUAAAAUAAUAUAUUGAUGUAAAUACCUUUUUGGUCUAUGUCAAUUAUAAUAAACUAAAAAAAAUUGUAGAAAGUUAAAAUUUUAAAAAUUUUAUAAAAUAUUAAUUUUGAGGACCUAAAUAAGUUAGUUAAUGAUUUAAGUUUAUCCUACUAAAGUAUCUUUUAUUAUUAUUAUUUUGCUUUAAAUUUUUUUUCAAAUAUAUAUGAUUUUAAAUUUAUGUGCUCUAACAUAGAAUUAGUUAUAUUGAAACAAGAUUUUAAUUUUUUUAAAUUUAACUCGAACAAUUGCACUUGAUUCGGCUCGAAUUUGAUUUCACUCGACUCGAUUAGAAAAAAUUUCAAAUCAAGUUAGUAUGAUAAAAUAGGACUCGUCAACUCGGAAUUUUUUCACUUGUUUCGAUCGAACACUCACCCCUAUUUUCAAGAGAAAAAAUUAUCAUGAGAAUUUUGAAUGAGUAUUUUUAAGAAAAAAAUCUUAAUAAAUAUUUCCAUUGUUAUUGUUACAUGGCUAUCAAGUGAAUUUAUUUUAGAAUUUCAAAAACACAACAAAUUCAGUAAAAGAAAUUUAAUGGCACUAAUUGAACUUAGAAUUUUAAAUCCAAAAAGUAGGAAUAUAUAUAUAUAUAUUAUAGAAAGAAAUAUAUAUUUUUUUAAAAAUAAAAAGUAAGUGAGUAAAUUAUAAAGGUAUGAAAUGUAUAGAAAUUUAAAGCAUAUUUUAACUAAUUUUUUAUUUUAGAACAAAUAAAAGCGUGGACUGGAACCAUGUUCCAUGCUGGCAAGAAAGAACAGAAAGGGGCAGAACUAGAUUUUUGUUUCACAUCACAGUUCACAACAGCCUAAAACACAAAUCAAAAACAGAGUAAAAGGGAAAAAGAGAUGAGCACUAUAAUUAAAAAGGUCUUGGCCCAGGUGCCCCAGGUGGCCCAGGCGGCCCGCCGAACAUUGGCCCACAGCAGCUUUCAAAUAUGCAGCAGCAGCAGAGAACAUAAAAACUGUACCCCCAAAAUAAAAGAAAACAGGAAUCGAGGUUAGCAAUUUAGUCCCCUAACUUUGAAGUGGAAAAGGAAAAUGCUAGAAUUAUUAGUAACGUGUAAUGAAAAAUUGAAAUACUCAAAUACAUAAACUGAGCGUAAAACUUUAAUAACAAUGCAAUUAACUUAAAUUCAGAUCACAUUUAGGAUACGUUAAUACAUUGGAUUUAAAAUCCAUAUAUAUUUUUAAUAUCUAAUAUUACAAUUUUAAUGAUUUACUUCAAAAUUAAAAUUAAUUAAUUUACUCCUAACAACUUUUAGAUUUUGCAUCUAAGUGACUUGCACAAAUAUGAUACCUCUCUUAACAUAUUGACACCAUGUUGGUUAAAAAUAUCUAACAGUAAUAGUCUACAUUAAAUAAACAAUUAAAUGUUUUUUAAUCUAUUUAAAAUUGAUGGAGGAUUAAUAAAUUAAAAAAAGAGAGAGAAAGAAAUAAGAUAUAAAAAAAUGCAAAACUAACAUAAUUUUCUUUUGUCACAACAUAAGAAUUAACAAGGCAUGAUAAAGAGUUGAAAAUGCAUAUAUAUAUAUAUAUAUAUAUGUGAUCAAAAAAGGCUAGCAAAGGCAAUAAAAUGACAUACCCAAACAAUAUAUUUAUAUGAUCUUUGUAAUCAUAAGAUAGUAAGCCUAUCUAACUCACCAAGAAGAAAGAAGACGGCAAAUACCACCGCAAAUAAAAUCAAAGCAGCCACAUAAACCGGGAGGCCCCGGCGGUCCUCCUGGAGGCGGUCCCCAUCCUGGUGGCGGC
This 86663-nucleotide long non-coding RNA is filed under the name Gossypium barbadense (sea-island cotton). RNAcentral's name for it is "long non-coding RNA (GBAR_LNC012595)". The record is from RNAcentral. Lineage: Eukaryota; Viridiplantae; Streptophyta; Magnoliopsida; Malvales; Malvaceae.